CUUGAUAUGUUGUAUUUCUUCUGACUUUUUUGUCCUUAUCAUCAUCUUUUUAGUUUUUUGUUCAUGUUUUUUUUUUUCAAUUUGUUGGCACAUUGGAUCUUAAUUUAGUUUUAGUUGUAGUUUAAUUUUGGGUUUUGGUUGAUUUGAGUGAGGUAUUUUUGGUUUAGAGGAUGAAGGAGAAAAAGACGAGGACAAGUUAGUCAUUUCACUUGGACUUCACGGACAUUUUGCAACACCAUCAGCAGUUCAGUACCACGGACAAACCUUACAACAAAACUAUACUUUUUUGACCACUUGUGCAACAAAUGAAAUAUCUAGAUGAAAACCAUAACUUUUGAAAUAUCAAAAGGACGAAAUACUAUUGUCUGUCCCCUGGGGUAUCCAAAAAAUAUCAUUUUCCAGGUAAAUACUCUGCAACAUGAAAUUGCAAUAAAUAUAAUAUGUGGGUCAGGGUGAUAGAAGUUGGAGGGCAAAAAAGACAUUUACAUGUCACUGGUUUUUGAUAGUCAUGUACUCUGAUGUUAACUAAGACAACAUACUGCCUCUCCUCUCUGUGUAUGUUGAAUCAUAUGAAUAAGAUCCCAUGAAAAAUGGCCAAACCUAGAAUAACAUGUCAUUAACAGAUUUAGUUAAAACUAGCCAAAAGGGUAAAUGUGUAAAUUGUACCAAAAUAUAAAAGCCUCUUUUUCGCAAGUGUUCCACUCCCUCAUCGAAUAUUCACUUUUUUAAUGCAUCUGGAUCCGUGACUCAGCCUUCAUAAUCCAAAAAGCUUGACCUCUGAAUAACAAAAGAGCAACUUGCUUAUUCUGUUUACAUUGAAUAUAGACAAUGCACUAUUUUUUUACCAAAAAGAGCAGCGUACUUACAUUUCUUUACCAAUAGAAGCAAUGUAUUUAUACUUUGUUCUUUAUCCAUAAUAGCAGCAUACUUAUAUACUUUUACCUGUAAUAGCAACAUAUUUUUAUUUCCCUACUAAAAUGAGCAAAAUGUACUUUAAUUGGUAAAGAGAUCCAAGUAUGUUGCCAUUUUUAUAAAUUUAACAUCUAGGUGACUACCAAACUUGUUUUGAAACCAUGAAAUAAGUAGCAAAAAUUCAGAAAAGUAUAUGUUACUACUAUAAUAAACAAUCUAAUAGAACAUAAAUACAUUACAAAAAACUAAAACAGUACUGUAGAGGAAUAGGACAUUUCCAUAAAUUUGUUGAUCAACUUCAAAUAUUUUGAAUAUAAAAUGCUAUAAAUGUUAACCAAAAUGAAACAAGUUCAGAUUUUCAAAAUACUUAGAUUUUUAAAACGCAAUGUCUUAAUAGGUAAAUAAUUAAAUGUACAAUGUCUUAAUAGAAAAACAGUAGAAAGUACUAUAAUUGGCAACCGGAAUCAAACAAACUUAAUAUUUUGAAGGCAAAAGGUCUUGUGUUAGACUAUUGAUUGCAUUUACGAUUUAAUAUUAAGUAUUUUUUUAUUAGUACCCUAUUAGACAUCUUAGAUGUAUAUUAAGUAAUCAGCGAAGUAGAAUUUGGUUUCUUACCUUGGCAUAUCAUAUAUGGUCAUUUAUUUUUUUUUUUUUUUUUUUUUUUUUUUUUUUUUUUUUUUUUUUUUUUUUUUUUUUUUCUAGAUUUCUAUAUGCUCUUCUUGACUGCUCCAGUUAUCCUAUCAAAUAACCACAAAUUAGUAAUUGAAAUACAUAUUUUAAGAUUUGUUAGACAGCUUACAAUCUUCAGAAAUUCAUAUAACAUGGGGAAGAAUCUAUGUGUUGAUAAAUGUCGCAGAUUAGAUUAGAUGACCCUAAUAAUAAUCCGUGAUGACAAUGUUUGUUGUUAACCAAAACUACACUAAGAUUAAAAUCAAGUAAAAAUGAUAAUAGAACAUCAAUACAUGAUUUAACUUGAUAAACAAACCAACAAACUACAUUAUGUUAAACAGAACACAUUCAGACCAUGACUAAUCCAAGAUUUUGACCACAGUUAUUUUAUUAGUAAAAUGCAAAUCAAUGAAACAGAAACAAGAAAAAAAAAUUAAGUGCUGGAGUCUUCCAUGAUCACAUACCACAAAAAGAGAUUUGACUAGAACAUUGUGAUCUGACAGAAUCUGAAAUACAUUCUUAAACGAUAUAAUUUCUUGUCUUGUCAUUUUCUUUCUCCAAGGAUUGAUAUAAUUUCUUUGGAUUAUAGAGAUGUUUGGAGAGCGUGAUGGAUUUAUAUAAAAACUCAUUUACAGAGCAUACCUUUAAAUCUAAUUGCAAUUUCCUUCACCAUUGUAUCUUUCAAGAAGUACUUUAAACAUUAAUUUAUUACAUCUUACCUAUCAAUAAAUAAUCUUUAAUCGGCCUUCUACUUGUCUCCUGAAAAAAUCUUAUAAAUGUUAGUCAUAAAAAUCAACUCCAGGUUAAUUUAUUUUAAUGCAUGCCACAGGAAGAAGAGAAGAGAAAGGAAGGAUUAUUAUUGUUUUUCAAAGUACGAUGUCUAAAUAAGAAAAAGUUGUACGUACAAGACUGUAAUAUAAAGGAAUAAAACUAGGAUGCUAUAAAUAGCCUGAAGGUGAAAUCCAUAAAGGAAGCAUGUGUUUCAUUUCUGCCAAUAUCUUAAGUUGCUAUGUAUUGCAUGUAAUUAUGAAAUUCAAAUACAUAUCAUAAUAAACUUGAUAACUAAGGAAUGAAAAAACCUCUCUGAUGAUCCAUCGUGGACCAAAAGAAAAAAAAAGAUCCACAAACAUGUUGAUACCUAGGAUCCAUGUCAGUUGAAGAAGAAACAAAAAGGCUUGCACAUUCAUUAUAAUCAAAGACUUACAUGUAACUAACUUAAAUGGGAGAAUGAGAAACAAUGCACUUUACAUGUAACUAACAGGAUGAUCAAAGGCUUCAUGGUCUGAAAAGGAUACACAUACACAUAUGCUGCAUACAAGUUCAACUUCUUUAUUGAAAAACUGGAACCUUGUUUGUACAAAAUCAGGUUGACAACCUGCAGGGGAAACUAAUUAAAUAAUGUUAAAAGGAUAAAAUUUUAAAUCUUACAACUAUGUGUAACUUUUAUGCAGUAUAAGUGCAAAGGUAGGUGAAAAGCUCCUUUGUCACCUACUUAAUUGAAAAAAAAAAACAUUUCUCAGAAAAACCUACUAACAUUAAAUGGCUAAAUUGGCUAGUAAACAAGUUACUUAAUUGGAAAGCAUUGUAACAUGUGAUGAAUGUUGUGAGCAUCUAAACAGAUAAAUUUAUACCUUAGCAUUUUGCUGUCAAAAAUCUGAUGCAUACAACAUUCACAAUUUGAACUUCUAUAGCCUGUAGGGGCAAAGUCAUGUAUAAUUAGUUUCUUGUCUAACAAAAUUUGCAACUAUUAAAUGUUAAAAAAAGGUACAUGAAUGCCAUGAUCAAACUUUCAUAUAUAAGAAGCCAAAACAUUUUCAAUAUGACCAAAAAUCAAAAAAUCAAAAUCCAAAAUUUACAAAACAUGGAAGAAUCUGAACAAAACCUUAGAAACAGGGCAAAGCUUAAGAGAAAUGACCAUAACCAAAGCCACUUGUCCAUUUUUUUUUGCAUGAUAAAUGAAAAGGUUGCUAUUACAACAAUACUGUAAUAAAAAGAAAUGAAACUAGGGUGAUAUAAGACACAAAUAAAUGAAAGUAAGUUCCAUGACAUCAGGAGACAAGGGUGAUGCACCUGAAACCAUAAAAGCAAGUUGGUCUUUUAUUUUGUUAAAUACUAAUCUGUCCCACAUAGCAUAGGAGAUGCACUCUUGCCUGAAAGAUAUAAUAUAUUCUUUAAAGUAUGGAAAGCUAAAAGGCUCCCUUGUGAUGAUUUUUUUUUAUAAAUAGUUACCUUUAAGUAAUGCUUGCCUCCUCGCAUUAAAUGCAAUCUUUCUCUAUGACCACCAGAUGACAUCACUGCAUUCAUAACACUGAAAUAACCACACACCUAACUGAGCAUCAAUAAGCCAUACCAAAUUGAAAAAUACAAUAAAUUUAUCAUACCCAUCAUAUCAUAUACUCUGUUACAUAACCGUGGAACACUUCAGAGCAUAAGAGGUCUCAAUUUCACCAUCAUCUCAUCCAUCAAUUUUAAGUUGUUCUACAUGAAUGAAAAUACAUUGCCCAUUAAGUCAAAAAGAAACAACAGUUUUAUCAUGAUGUGAUUAAGUACAAUAAGGAAAUCAUUAUCAUGAACUUAAUUCAGACAGAACAUGAAAUUUGAGUUUCUUAAAUACUAAUAGUAAAACAAAAUUAUCUAUUAAAAUAUUAAUAUAUGAUCAAGUAACAAAAAUUGCCACCAGAAAAAACAAGAUGAAAUCCAAACUUUUUUAAGAUGAUUGGUUUGAUUGAAAGAAAAUGUAACAAUAAGAUGCUUGUUCAAGCAUAUCACAGCUGAAUGCAGAGGUUCCUGCAAAAAAAUGAUUUUCUUUUGUAAAGAAUUACCAGGCAUACGAAAUAAGUGUUGAAGGCAUUUUCCAUGCAAUAUUCAACAUCUCUUUUUUUUAUUGAUUCUACAUGAAGCAUGUUAAUCCCAUCAUUUCCUGAAGAUAAUACACACAAGCAUGAGUUUUAGGAACAUAGGUGAUGGCCAACGACUUUGUAUUUGGAUCAAAAGUUAAACCAAAAUUAAAACCAAAACAAAGUAAAACAGCAGCAACGCUCCUUCUGAGAUACAGUCGUCACCACCCAAAAGGAAUCGCCGGGCAAUCCAACUUGAAAUUCUCGAUACAGAUACACCACGAGAUUCUCAAAUCAGCCUCCAAGAUCACCUCCAAAUCCUGCCAAAAUUAGGAUAGCAAUGGAAAAUAAUCUCUAAACUUUGAGAAUUAAUUUUAAGGAAACCUCCAAAAAUUGCCUUCUUUCCAUUCAUCAUUCCUCCAUACAUACAGGGAAAAAAAGGAAAAACAAAACCCACCACCCACGUAGCUACAUUUAGGGAAAGUAAAUAACUGUUGUAGAGAAGCCAAAAUAAACUAAAAUAAUAAGGAAAAUAAAAUAACAUGGAAAUAAAACAAAGUACUCUUGACUGAUAUGUGGAGGAACACGUGGGGUAAAAUCUACAAUCAUGUGAUGGAAGGUUUUGAUUGAAUUAGGUUGACCCAUGUAUUCACGUGAUCGGGUUCUGGAGUCGGUUUCGGGUCUGUCAUAUUGGGCGGGUCUUUAGGAACUUGCCUAUCAAUAGGGGUAUUUCUGGAAAUACACAAACAGGGUCAUAGACUCAUAUCUUUUGUAAUCAGUGGAUAGAAGGCGGUAAUUUGAUAAAGCAAAGUUCAUAAUUUCGUAACAGAAAAGCAUAAUCACCCAACACCCUUAUUGGAACUAAAACUGUAUCUUUUAACAUUAACAGAAAAGCUAAAUAAGAACAUAAAAAGCAUCAAGUGUUAUAUUGUUUUAAGGGAAAAAACAUACAUGUUAAGAGUUUGAUUCUCAGGGGAUCUUCUUUACCUUUUCUCCACCAUAACCUCUUUAUUUCAAGACUUCCACCAGCAACAUUUGCAAUCAGGUUUCCACGGGAAACUACUACACCCUCCUUACCAUGUAGGAAAAGGAAUAAAGGUUAAGAAAAGAUUCAACUUUAGUAGACUUGAAAAGAAAAAAAAAGCACAAGUGAAUAAGAAAUAGAAACAUCUGGUUUCCACUUGUCUAACAUGUUGCAGCAAAAUCAUCUGGUUUUAAUGCACAAAAAAAGGUGAUGGUUGUUCCUUCACUAAAGCACCAACUCAUAUGCAAAAAAAUCAGCAAUCAAAUGGCAGAAAUCAUGAAGGAUUAACUCAAAUUAAAGAAGCUCAUGUUAUUGGAGAUAGAUGCAUAAGUCUGUUAUAAUGAAUAACAAGACAGAGAAUAUUUUUGAAAUUACAAUAUUCCAAACAAAAAGAAACAAAAGUAGGAUGUUAUAAUAAACAAAUCAACAAAACUAUGUUGCUAUUUCUCACAUUAACCCAAAAAAUAUAUGAUUGAAAUCAAAACACAAUCAACUUUCUUGAGAAAUCUGAUUGUCAUACAUCGAACCAUGAUCAUGGAAGUUUGUUUUCUUAAAAAGCAUGCUACUGAAACAUUAGAUGGAAAAUGGAUUAAAAAUAUUUUACAAAAUGACCAACAAAAAUGGAUGCAAAAGACAUAAAACAUGAGAAUAUAUAACUGGAAUGCAGAAGCAAUUAGACUACCUGUGCAUUAUUAUUAGCCUCUUCUGUUAAUGAAACCAGAUAACAUAACAGGGCUUCUCUCCAAUGUCUUGAGCUGCACAUACCAUAACCUUUUUAUUUUUCAAAGAGACUAUUAAACAAUGAAAAGAGAGCACUUACAUUUGUUAAAUAAUUCUUUAGCUGGAUUUUGUGCUUAAUUCCAUCCAACAUAUAUGCAACAAAAUUAUUGCAUUGGCUUUGAUUGAUGACUAGAAGCCACAAUUUCCAUCAUACCACCUAUGUCAGAAUCAUUGAUAUUCGAUAAUGAAGUUUAUCCAUUAAUAGUAAAACAAAAUUAUCUAUAGAAGUAUUAAUAUAUGAUCCAGUAACAAAAAUUGCCACCACAAAGAAUGAGAUGAAAUCCAUACUUUCUUAGCAUAAUUGGUUUGGCAGAAAUAAAAGGUAAUAAUAAGAUGCUUGUUCAAGAAUAUCACACAGCUGAAUGACGAGGUUCCUGCAAAAAAAAAAAUUGAAGUUUUUUAGCAAUAUUCUCAUGUAUAAUAUUUUUAUUCACAAAAGAGAAUUGAUUAUUAGCUCAUCAGAGAUAUGAAAAUAGUACACACCAUCACCCUCUUUAUAUUGAACACUUGUCACCAUGUGGCAUUCUCUUCCCUGAUGUCCCAAUUCGAUAAAUAUAAGCACACCUUUUUAAAUAGAUAAAAGAACUGACUAAAUAACAAAUAUCUUGUGUAAAAAAACUACCAGGAAAACUAAAAAAGCGUUGAAGGCGUUUUCCAUAAAUUUAUACUCUGUUACAUAAUCCUGGAACACUGGCAUAAUACAAUAGGUCUCAGUUAUGCCAUGUCAUCCAACAAAUUCAAUACAGUGUAAAGUUUUAAUUUGUUCCCCAUUAAUUCAAAUAGAAACAACAGUUUUGCCAUGAUGUGAUCAAGUACAAUAAAGUUAUCAUUAUCAUGAACAUAAAGUUUGAGUUUCUUACUCCAACUGAGCCACCAUAGUUUGCCAAUAUGAUCUGGUUGGACUUUUCAUAAUUUGUUGGUGUGCCAAAGGAAGAUAAGAUUUAUGUAACUGAAAUAAAGCAUGGGGAACAAAUUAAUGGUGACACAAUUGGCAUUUACUUACACAUCUGAUGGAUGGAACUUAAUUAAUGUGAAUGUGACUCAACAAAAGGUUUUGAAGUUACCUGAGCAAUAAGUUUAGAAAAUCAUACACUUAACCUUUAACCCCACCCAGUUGUUGAUGGAAGAGAUGGGAUCAAGCUCAUCUAUCCUUUCAACCACCUAUAAUAUUAUAUUAUCAUUCAAUAUGAGAAUUUGAAGGUUGUAGCAUCAUUUCAGUAAAGAAUCUUAUUAGUGCAAUUCAUAAGAUAUGAAACAAAUGAUUNAUAUAUAUAUAUUAUAUUAUCAGUCAAUAUGAGUUCUUGAAGGUUGUAGCUUCAUUUCAAUAAAGAAUCUUAAAGAAAUGAACCAAAUGAUUAACUAUCAAAACAACAGAAGUUAUCAAUUAAGUGACUUCAUAACAAAUCAAGAACAAAUGAAGAACAGGAAAGAUAUAGCAAUUCGAGAUGCUAUGGUCUCACAAAAGAAGAAGAAACUUCUAAAAUAUUCUGCCUGCCUUUCUAACAAAGGCCCUCCCAUAUUAUAUAACCUAAAAUGACAGAGGAUCUGCCUUAAUUCCCAAAAUGCCCCUGCUGUCCUGCUAACUUUGUAGUUCCCUCGUGGUUGUCUGUGGUCCCCUCUCCCAUUGGAAUCUUUUGUCUCUGAUAGGUGAAUUGCAAGGGUGGAUGCACAAUAGUUAUCAAUGACAAAAAGAUCAGCAACUGAAAUGUCAAAGUGAUUGAUUAGCAACUAAUAAAAAAUUUAACCUUUUGCAAAUGGCAAUGUCUGUGUGGCACACAAAAUAUGGCUUCUACAGAAAGAGCAUUUCUGUAUGCAAGAAUGGCAUGUUUUAUCCUAUACAAAAAGACACAACUUUUCAGAAGAAUAUAGACCACAAAAACUUAGAGAGCAGAGUAAAAUAUACAUUCGGUCCCUGAUUGUAUACCUAAUUUAUCAAUUUGGGUCCUUAUUUGAGGUUCUUGUAACAUUUCUGGUCCCUGUUCCAAGUAAUUUGGCUAUUUUUUUUUUUUUGCAGAUUUGUUCCCAAAAUUAUUGUCAUUUUACUAGAAACAAAGAUCAAAAAAGUUAUAAACCUCAAAAAAGAACCAAAAUUAAAAAAAAAAAAAUCAGCUACAUUCAGCGACCAAAAUUUAAAAAAUACUUAAAAAAAAGAUAGAUAAAUCAUUUAUAUACUGUAUUUAAUUAUUGUUACAAAAUCAUUGAUAUUCAAUAAUGAAAAUUAUCUAUUAAAAUAUUAAUAUAGGAUCAAGUAACAAAAAUUGCCACCAAAAAAACGAGAUGAAAUCCAAACUUUUUUAAGAUGAUUGGUUUGGUUGAAAGAAAAUGUAACAAUAAGAUGCUUGUUUAACAAUAUUCUCAUAUAUAAUAUUUUUAAUCACAAAAGAGAAUUGAUUAUUACCUCAUCAGUUAUACAACGGUAAAAACUGACAUCUUCUUUAUACUGACCACUUGUUAUUAAUAUUUCAACCCACAAAAGACCACACGAUGUGGCAUUUCUCUUCCCUGAUAUCCUAAUUUGCCAAAUAAAAGCACAUUUUUAAAAAAAUAAAAAAUAAAAGAAUCAACCAAAUAACAAGAAUCUUUUGUAACAAAUUACUAGGCGUACUCUGUUACAUUAUCCUGGAACGCUAUAGAAUAUAUAGUAGGUCUCAGUUAUGCCAUGUCAUCCAACAACUUCAAGUUAUCCUACACGAAUGAAAAUACAGUAAUCAAGUAAUAAAGAAACAUCAGUUUUGCCAUUAUGUGAUUAAGUACAAUAAAAAAAAUCAUUAUCAUGAACUUAAUUCGGAAAAAACAUAACAUUUUUGUUUCUUACUCUUUGAUAAAAUCCAGCUGAGCCACCAACCAUAGUAUGCCAAUAUGAUCCGGUUGGACCUUUCAUAAAUGUGUGCCAAAGGAAGAUAAGAUACAUAUAACUGAAAUAAGCAUGGGCAAUAAAUAUUACAACAAAAUAAUGUUGAAACAAUUGGCAAAUACUUAAUUUCAGGACUUCCACUAGAAAAAAACCAUUUACAAUCGGGCUUCCAUGGGAAACUAUAGUCCCCUUCAUUAGGUAAAAAAUAAUUAAAAUUAUAACGCUAUAACUUAAAAUAUAAUGCUAUGAUUGAUUAAAGUUUCAAAAAGCAAAGCAAUUUCACCGCUUCAUUAGGUAAAAAAUUUAGAGUAUAAUGUCAUAAUAAGCAAAAAAAAUGGAAGUACGAUGCUAUAAAUGGGUGGAUUAUUAAAAGUAUCAUUUCACAAUAAGAAAACACUUGGAAGUACAAUGGUAUGUAUAAUGGGGUAGAACUUUCAAAGCAAUAAGAAAAAAAAAAUGAAAGUACAAGGCUAUAAUUAGGUAGACAUCUAAAUGUAUAUAUAAUGUCCUAUUAAAGAAAAAAAUUCUAUUUUAGUAGACUUGAACAGAAAAGAAAAAAAAAAGCACAAGUGAAUUAAGAGAUAGAAACCUUUAUCCUAUCAAAUAACCACAAAUUAGCUAUAACAAUGUACUUUCUUACCUUUGCAUCAUACAUGGUCAUUUAGUUUUUUUUUUAUUUCUAGAUUUCUAUAUGCUCUUCUUGACUGCUCCAGUUAUCCUAUCAAAUAACCACAAAUUAGUAUAUGAAAUACAUAAAUUAAGAUUCGCUUACAUUCUUCAGAAAUUCAUAUAACAUGGGGAAGAAUCUAUGUGUUGAUAAGUGUCGCAGAUUAGAUUAGAUGACCCUAAUAAUAACCCAUGAUGACAAUGUUUUUGUUGUUAGCCAAAGCUACAAUUAGAUUAGAAUCGAGUAAAAAUGUUAAUAGACAAUCAUUACAUGAUUUAACUUCAUAAACAAACCAACAAAAAACAACAAUGUGUUAAACCUAACACAAUUAGUAAAACGCAAAUCAAUGAAAGAGAAACAAGAAAGAGCAUUAUUAGGUGCUGGAUUCUUUCAUGAUCACAUACCCACAGAAAGAGAUUUGACCAGAGCAUCAUGAUAUUCAUAAAAAGGCUGACAGAAUCAAACUUGCAAUUUUGUCUCUAAAUCUAGUUGCAAUUUCCUUCACCAUUGUAUUUGUAUCUUUCAAGUUUUACUUUAAAGAUUAGUUUAUUAUAUCUUACCCAUGAAUAUAAUCUUUAAGCCGCCUCCAUGUAUGAAGCCAAACCAUGCAUCCUUCUUCUUCAUCAAUUACACAAAAUCUUAGAAAUGUUAAUUAUAAAAUUGCAAUUUUGAAUUUGUGUCCCAUUGACAUCAGUCUAAUGCAUGCCAAAAGCAGAAGAGAAGAGACUAAGGAUUAUUAUAUUUAUACAUAACAUACGUUUGCACUUCAUCUUUGUAGUAGCCUUGGAACACACACAAAUUACACCAACAGGAUAUGAUGGUUGAUCAUCGGACGUAUAUUUCAUCUCAGGAACAUCCACAUCUGAAACAGGAACAUCAUUCAUUAAUAUUGGUUUAAAUGCAAGAAAUACUAAAGUAGUUUCAUUUUUCCUAUUAUAGAAUUGUGCUUGAAAAAAUCUACCCAGUUAUAGCAAUGUCAUAGAGUAAGUUAAUCCCAUCAUUUCUUAGAGAUAAUACACAAGCAUGACUGCAUGAGUUUUAGGAACAUAGGGGUAUUUCUGGAAAUACACAAACAGGGUCAUAGACUCAUAUCUUUUGUAAUCAGUGGAUAGAAGACAGUAAUUUGAUAAAGCAAGUUCUCAUAAUCUCGUAACAGAAAGGCAUAACCACCCAACACCCUUACUUGAGAUUCAAUGCAAAGCUAAAUAAGAACAUAAAAAGCAACAAGUGUUUUAUAGUUUUAAGGGUAAAAACAUACAUGUUCACACUUUGAUUCUCAGGGGAUCUUCUUUACCUUUUCUCCACCAUAACAUAAGCUCUUUAUUUGGUUUCUAAAACCUUUUCUUGUUGCAGAGUAAUGAAUGGAAUUUGUCAAACAAGUUGAAAUUAAGAAUAACAAUCAGUCUCGGAGUAAUGUAGGGAAGUGGUUCACAAAAUACUUUUGAAAUGAAUGGAAUUUGUCAAAUGAAUUGGUAUUUGUCAUGUGUAUGAUUGACAGGAAAUGGAAAGGAUUUCUGUUAAUGAGAAUAACUGGAAUGCAGAUGCAAUUACGCUACCUGUGCAUUAUUAUUAGCCUCUUCUGUUAAUGAAACCAGAUAACAUAACAGGGCUUGUCUCCAAUGUCUUGAGCUGCACAUACCAUAACCUUUUUAUUUUUCAAAGAUAUUAUUAAACAAUGAAAAGAGAGCACUUACAAUAUUCUCAUAUAUAAUGAUUUUAUUCACCAAAGAGACUUGAUUAUCACCCCAUCAAAUAUAUAAAAGUAAACAUCAGCAUCAUUAAGAAGAAGAAGCAGGGGUAAAUGAUUCAUGUUAAAAAGAUCCACAAACUUGUUGAUACCUAGGAUCCAUGUCAGUUGAAGAAACAACAAAAAAGCCUGCACAUUCAUUUGGAUAUUAAACAAGUUACUUAAUAGGAAAGGAAAACAUUAUAACAUGUGAUGAAUGUUGUGAACAUCUAUAAACAGAUUUGGUUGUGGAAGUGGAACAUCUCAUGUAUUUUAAUUUAAUUGGAAAGGAAACAUAACUUUAUUAAACAGAAACACACAACUUUAUAUGAAACUUUUAGUUAGAACCAAAGUACACUUAUAUUUCUAAUAGAGUUACAAACACAAACAAUAAAUUAUCUUUUCCCUAAUUGAAUUUCUAAUAACUCAAUAAGUUGUCUAAUAUUUUAAUUUGGUUUGUGAUUAUUUACUUCUCUCUACAUAAUUUAAUCCAGCAACAUUUUUACCCUCAAAACAAAGCAAAACAACUCUUUAGGUUAAUUAAGACAUUUCAUCAAACACUUAAACUGCACAGAUAAACAAUACUUUUUUGAGUUUCAAAACUAUUUAAAUUUUACCGACAUCACCACUUGCUUGAGCAAAUCAUCUUCGUUUGAUGGAUGCUUUGGUUUCAAUUUGGCGACCUGAUUCAAAAAACCAUCGAAUCAAAAGAUAAAUGGAGAAAGAGAAAAAACCCAGAGAGGUCGUAGUGUUAAAUAAAGGCUGCAAUUAAGUAAAAUUAUGUCAUUAAUAUACCUUUUGUAUAGUGUUUGAUCCUUUUAGCGAUGAUGAAACAUGCUUAGAAGAAAAAAAUUAGUUUCAUGACGUAAAAAGUUGCCAUACACUUAGCCUAAAACACGUAUUGAAAAGAUACAAGUAAACACAAUACCUAGAAAUCAGCGGAAAAAGAUCCUUUUGUAUAGUGUUUGAUCUUUUUCUUGAUCGAUGAUGAUGGUAAACCAAACUGACCGAUGAAUCCAGUAAUGACAUGAAGAAUCUUCUUGGCCUAUUGAAAAUACCUAACAAAAACAAAAUCAAAAUCAAUAAUACACACAAAAAAAAAUCAAGAACUUUAACUAACAGACGAAGAGGGAAACACAGAGGAUUGUUGAACGCCGGAUAAUGAAAGAGAGAGAAAACGGUGGUGUCGCUAGAAGAAAAAGAGAAGAAGGUGGUGCCUACAAAUAAAACCCUCUUCUUCUUCUUUUCUUCUUCACUGAAACAUGUCUCUGGUUGUGUUUGGAGAGCAGCGGGAUGACUAUGAGUGACUGAAGAAGGUAUAAAUUAGGCGCCAAUACACACCGACCCAACCCUUUGGACUUCCUAAUUCCAACGGUUCUUUUAUAAAUCAUUUCCAAAAUUAAAACCUUUCCAAAAUUUGAAUGAGUAACAAAGAAAACCUUUCCACUUAUCUAUCUUAACCACGUAAUCCCUAACUUUUCAUUUUUACCAUUUUUAACCUAUAAAUUUAUCUUUUAUUGCAAAAUUGAUACCUUCUUCUUCCUGUUUUUAUUUUGACCUAGUUUUUUUUAUAAGUUUUAUUUCUAAUUUGUCCAAACUUCUUUUAGAAACUUUUACAAAUAUUUUUUAUAACUUUCUUUUUAAAUAUUUCUUAAAACUUAGUUUUUUUUUAUUAAUUUUGUUAUAAGUAUGAAAUCAUAUUUAUAAAAUUAGUUAUUUUAUUAAAACAAUUACUUAUGUUGUGUUGUAUGUUUUUUAAAUUCUUUUAUUAUUACAAAUUAAAAUUUUUAAUUUAUUUUUUGUAUUUAUAAAGGCUAUUUUUUACAACUUUUUUUUUUACUAUCUUUGUUUUUUUUUUAUCAAAUCGUUUUAUAAAAUUAGUUUUCUUUUAAAAAUAAUUUUUACAAAGAUUUAGAUUUUUCUUUUCAUGCAUUUAUUUUAAGAUUUUCCCUAUAUUUAAAAGGGGUAUCUUAAAUGUACCCCUGUGUGUGUGAGUGUAAUGUAUGUGUGUUGACCUUCACAUACACAUAUGUUUCAUCAUGUGGGGAUUUUUUAGCAACACCUAUAACAUGUAAAAGUUAUGUUCUUUUUAAUAUAUUUAUUUAAAAACAAUAAAAAAAAUACACCUUAAAGAGUGCACUUUUAUGCUAUAACUAAAUGUAACCCUAAACCCUAGAGAGUAAAUUAUGUCUUGUUUUUUGUACAUGUUAUAUUCUCCGCUACAUAUAUUCCGCUCCAUGUAUUUUCCUUUGUUUUACAAUUUUUGACUAAUUUCUUUUUCAAAAUUGGUCCAGAGUUUUUUUACAAAUUUUCCCUAACUUUUUUCUUUCAAUUAAUAACAUUUAUACAAAAGAAUUUAGCAUUUGAGAAAAGUUUGGACAUGUUUGAUAUUAAUGCACAAGUAUAGUAAUGCUAGUUACACUUAUUAUUAUACAAGCAACAUAUUAAAUCAUUUUUUUAUUCUUUUUUUUUUAGAACAGCUGAAUUUUAUUAAACUAACAAGAAGUUAUAACAAACAAUUACAUGAUAGUAUAAGAAGAAUUAUGAAGCCAAGUAGACCAAGUGAACUUAGCUUUGUUACAUCUAUUUGAAAUCUAAAAGAACGCCUUAUCAACAACAUCAUCAAAAAGCAAUGCCUUUUAGGGAUAACCAUUCCAAAAAUGGUAGCAUUUCUAAAAUUCCAAAUGCCUCAAACGUUGUCAUAACAACUGCAUCAAAAAGCUUAUGUUGACCUGCCCUCAAUGUGACUGCAUCAGAACAGAGAUAAGAGAGUGUACAGAAAUCUGAUAAGGAAGAUGUAAACCCCACCAAAUAGCAAUGUGUCUCCAUAUAUCCUGUUAAUACAUGAAAAGUGCCUCUUAGUCAAUCCAGCCUUUUGAGUAUUUCCGAAGUAGUCUAGACUUUAAGAUGAAUGUAUUUCUAACGUGUAUAGAUUUCCAAGAACUUGUUACUUUGGAAUCUGAUCAAUGUUGUAAUGCUCUAAAUUUUCAAAUAAAAAUUUCAUUUUUAAAACCACACAAAACAUAGUUUCAUAUUUCUCUAACCCAAGUUUAUAAGUUGUUCGAAACACAAGACAAUAUAAAUGUUUGACAAUAUCCCAGAAUCCUCAAAACAUAAUCUCUAGCUGGUGUGUACAAUCAUUUCGGCGCCUUCCCGCGAUCCUGAGAUGUACCUAAAACACAUUUCACACAACACUGUAAGCACAAAGCUUAGUGAGUUCCCCAAAAUACCACGCAUAAAUAAUUAGCCUCUCAUGGCUAUAUCUCAAUAAAGGACCCUCCGGUCAUGUGUCUCAGUGAAGACCUCCGGUCUCACAGCUCGGGUCGGACCCUCCAGUUCGGUAUCUCAGUGAAGACCCUUUAGUCUCACAACUCGGUUUAGACCCUCCGGUCCUAACUCAAUAAGACACAUAAAUAAUAUACAACAUAAAUCACAAAGACAAAAGGCAUGAUAUCACAUAACUCAGUAUAAGCACAUAAGACCCUCUGACCAAUAACUCAAAUAAGACCCUCCGGUCACAUAAUAUUACCACUCAGGUAAGUAUAGUGAGAAGACUCACCUCGUAAGUAAGCAAAUAUGUCUCGUACUUAAUGGUAGGUCUAGACUCUGUCUACAUAUAGCAUAAUCAUUUCUAAUUAACAAUUUAUAAUAACAACUCCAAAGAUGUUCGAUUGUUCAUUUACUAACUCUCGGAAAGGGUGAAAGACCAUUUUACCCCCUCCAUGGUCUCCUAAGUCUAUAACUUGACCAAACCCUAAAAGUCAACGAAAGUCAACCCUCAAGUCAACAGUCCAUGUUGAUUAGGUGCAAUUUGUGCACCUCUUAGUCACAUUUCAUUCAUCUAUUUAGCAUAAUUGUUCUUUCCUUUUUCUUGCAUUUCAUCAUAUUCAUGUUAGUCUCUAGAACAACCUUAUUUGCACACUUUUAUGUCUUUUUCAGGUAAACCGGAGGUUGGAACGCGCUUUGGGAAGUGUCGGGAAGCAUUGGUGAAGAUUUCGGGAUGAUCGGGCGAAGAACGAAAAAGUUGGAAAAAUCAAGUUUGGAAUUGGAGUCAGAGAGGUACACGGGGCGUGUUGAAUUUACACUGAAAAGUGGGCACGGGGCGUGUUUGACCAAAAUGGGAGCUGUUGACCAUGCUGAACACGGGGCGUGUCAGUUUAGUGCAAAUCAACACGGGGCGUGUUGCUGAACACGACCCGUGUCAGUUUAGCCUAUUUUAACACGGGCCGUGUUCGACCCAAAAACCAACUUUUGGCAGUUUUUCCUAUCUUUCAUAUUACGGGUUAAGAGUCAUUUUUACACACACACAACAUAUCAGAGCACCAUUGGAGAGGAGAAUUCGAAGGUUUUUGCAAGGGUUUUUCCGUCAAUCAUUUGGAAACAUUAAUUCUUGUUUUUGUAAGUUGUAAUUACACUUAAUUCCAUCUUUUAUACUUGUGAUCUUGUUCUAGCCAUGUGUGGCUAGAACCCUAGUUUCUCCAAUUUCAUGUUUUGACUUCUUGGUAGUGACUUCAAUCAUAUGACAUGAUGUUUGUUCUUAAUUUCUAUCUAAUGAAUUUGAUUUUGCUUCAAUCGAAUGUUUGAUUCUAAUUGUGAUUCUUAUUGGCCAUUUGAAUUAGGGUUAGGUCAUUCAAGUUAUCUCUUUUACAAAAUCUGUAAUUGUUUUGUGAAAUUGAACAAGUAACAAGCAUUAAAUUGAUCUCUAUUGAAUGAAUUUAGUGUAAAUCUUAUUCAUACACUUUUACACUCCCGAGCUUAUGAGGAGUAUUGGGUGUUGUUGGGAACAUACACAUAAAGCUUCAUGCAAUCUUAUAAUCUAAUUCUAAGAGCUUGUUUAGAUUAGGUUAAUAAGAUUAGGGUUAAUCAAAGAGCUUGUUUUGGUUAAUUAAUGUGGUGAAUGGGAAGUGUUAGAGCUUAUUAGCACUUUCAUGUACCAACUUAGAUAGAACUGAACGAAUAUUGUGUCAUCUUUGAGUCACACUGCUAAGUAGUUGUCAUACAUCAAGUUGGAGUCCUUACAAAAUCUGAAUUUAGUUCACUCAUUUAGCUGAUUGCGUGUGUUUUUAAUUUGUUUGUUUAGUCAUUGCACUCUACCCCCCCCCCUCCCUUUUUUACUGUUGGUGACCAUAGUACCUUGCACAAAGAGGUAUAGACUAAUUAUCCCGUGUCUCUGUGGAUCGACCCUACUUGCCUUGUACUACCUUUUAGUGUAAUAUAAUAGUGUUAUCUUGGAGUAUAUCGUACCCCUUUAUUUGUUGGGUCUGACACGCCUAACAUUGACCCAACUCGUCGAUUGUAUCUAUGCGACUCAUCGAGUUCCUUUGUUCUCUGAAAAAUCGGGAAAAUCCAACUCAACUCGCCGAGUUGUCUCAUCAAUUCGUCGAGUUUGCACACCGUCCACGAUAACGGGGGAAACCCUAACCAACUCGUCGAGUUGGCUAACCAACUCGUCGAGUUCCUUCAGGUCAAUGACUCAUUCAGACGCUUUUUAGUGAGAGUAAAGCCCCAAACUCUAGAUCUAGCCUCCUAAGGCUGAAAUACCACGUAAAGCUGCAAGCUUUACGUCCAUGCAUGGCAUCUAGGGCUAAGUUUGCCAAAACAAAGCUCAACAAACAGUUUAAGGCAUGGAAGUUGGCCAUAGCUUGAUAAAGCUUGAAUCUUUAGGCCUAAGGGACCUAGUAUUGUCCAUAUCUGAAGUCUUAGCUUCAAGGUAAGCUCAAAACCAAUAAGGACCCAAGGGAAAUGUUAAAAAUGGCCAUAACUCUCUAAUGGAGAGAUCUAACAAUCAAGUGAUCAAGUUAAUCGCUUUUUACCUCCAAAUGGCCUCUAACACUGAAAGAAUGUCGAAUCCAAGGACUCCUUCUCGUUCCAAGCCUUGUGUUCCUCAAGCUCCUUCAAAGAAUGCACCAAAACACACACUCUUAGCCUCUCUCUCUUAUAUGAUAAUAGCUCGAUUAAGGUUUCUCUCAGGGUGUUAAGGUGAUGAGGGAGGCGGGGUAAAGGACUUAAGGUCCUUUAAAUAAGGUGCAAACCCUGAAAAUUAGGGUUUUCACACUCAGCUCCUACUCGUCGAGUUGGGUCCUCCAACUCGUUGAGUUGACUCUAAAAACCACACAGCUAUCUCAAUCUCUACUCGACAAGUUGGGGACUCCAACUCAUCGAGUUUCCCUGCCAAAAUGAAUAUAAAACAAUUUAAAUUUGUACCUGGGAGUCGGGAUGUUACAAAUGUAUUCUGACAGAACUGAAAGUACCAGUUUGUUGUUUAAUGGUAGUAACGUAGUGUCGUACAUCCGACAAGAUCAACAGAAACGGUUGUGUCAGGUUGUUGAUCUUCAGUCCAUGUACACUUUCCAGAUAUUUGUCUUUUGCAACUCCUUUGCCUAUAAAAAGAGUGUCAACCUUUGUAAUAGAAAUAACUUUAAGGAACAACUUCACUUCUAUUAAAUCAAAGAAAUAUACUGUCAAUCAUUUCUCUCAAACAUUCUUCUUGUUCUUAUUUACUUUACAUUGUUUAUACUUUAUAUUAAUUAUCUUGAGCACUUUGUUGAGUUAUGUAUUUCAAGGCUUGACUGGUUUAUCUAGAUUUGAGUGGAUCUUUUAUUAUAAGCAAUCAUUGACGUUAGAUUAAUUCAAGGUUUGAGUUUUCAAACCUUGUCCAUGCAAAUAUUUAAACCUAUAAUUGGUAUCAGAGCCUAAGUGAUUGUCCUUUGAAUCCAUAAGAACAUAUUAUAGUUGGUUGAAGAUCACCUUUCUAUCUCAAUCAUUAUGUGUUCAGGAUAAAAGUUCUUUAUAUACCACUUCAGCUCUAAUAUUUAAACAUCAAUGGCUGCUUCUAAUCAAUCUCAACAAAUAUAUUCAAUGCAAACCGCAAAUAGCAUGGGUUGCCCAUCGCAUUUACCAUUGCUAGUUGUCAAAGAGUAUGAUCACUGGAAAGUCAGAAUGGAGAUAUUUUUGGUUGGCAAAGAAAAAGGUGAAGAGAUAUAGAGGUCGGUGAAAGAAGGUCCUCAUGUUCCUGUUAGGAAAAUGGUCAUAGAUGUUGUUGCUACUCUUAUGGGCCAAGAAGAGCUCUGGCCAACACCUCUAAUCGCAAAAGAUGUCGAGAAACUCCUUGCAUACCAAAUUGCUUUUUCCAAAAUGGUGUUUGGUGUUCCACCAUCUCUCCUUAAGCACCUUAACUUGUGUAAAUCCACCAAAUAUAUUUGGGAUACACUUCAAGACUUGUUUGAAGGAUCAGAAAAUAUGAAAGAGAAGCAUCUGACGCCUGUAGUAAACGACUUCGACACCUUCACUACCAUACAUGGUGAAUCCGUUGCCUCUACAUCAAAUAGGUACAUAAUCGUUGUGAAUAACAUGACUGCACAUGGUGUUGUUUGCACUCUGCUUGAGUACAAUCUGAAGUUUAUCAAUAGUCUCGGAAAAGGAUGGGGAAAUGUUAAAUAUUGUCUUUAGAGUAAUGGAUCUCUGAAGAAACUGAAGCUCUACCAACUGUUUGAUGAACUGCAAGGCCACAAAUAAUGUUGUUCAAACAAUGAGAGAACUCUCUGGAGGUCCUCCCGCUCUAGUCGGUUUGGUUAAUCCACUUAUUCAGAACCUAUUCGUCUCGGAUCCCUUCAGAGCUAUUGUGACAUCCUUAAUUUCAAGACUAUGAAAUACUGAUUUAUUUAUGCUUAUAUAAAAUCAGAGUAUCCUUUUUGAAAAAUAAUAUUGUGGAAUUUGUUCCCAAAAACAUGAUAAUGAUAUUAUCAAAACAUUUCCAAAGAAAUGUAUUUAUAUUAAAAAUGUUGGGAUGUCAUCAUGAAUACAAUACAUAAGCAUAAAUGGAAACAAUACAUGUCUUACAAACAUUUGUAAGGUCUAUAAUCUAUAAAUCUAUCAUCAAUCAUAACACCUGUGCUCUCGUGCCACUACCUGUGAUACAAGAAACUGAGUGGGUCUGGCUUGAUAGAUUGGUGAACACAUAGGAUUUUUAAUCCACAAAAUUAUAUUCUUUUAAUUAUAUAUUUUCAUCAAAGCAUUCAGCUUGAUUACCUAUUCCUGUUAUCCUCACUUUCUGUCCCUAAAACAUCUAAUUUUGGGUACCUAUUCUAAGGAUUAUAUUCGGAUAGACAAUAAUGUUGCGGGGGAUUCCUUAGCACUAUAUGUCAAUAAGGCGACCAUGGGGGGUGGAGUACACCUGGUGAACACUAAGUUCAAAAACACAUACAGGUUGCGAGCCUACUAGCGUUCCACUGGACUGUCUAGAAUAGACGGUGGUCGUCAUCUAUACUCCAUUAAACGCCUAGAUCAUCUUUAAAGUCAAGGACUCUCAUCAUCUAUUUCAUCUUUCAUCUCUCAUCAUCUAUAUCUUCUUUUAUCUACCCAUCUCUACCCAAUAUAUUUAUAGGUAUAAAAUACAUAUACAAUUUAAAUCAAGUAAAAAAUGUAUAAAUUGUUCAUCUAGCAUUGAUAUAGAUAAUAGGCACAUAUAGCAUGUAAUUAUCUUAAAUACUUUAUAUCUAUGUGUAAGAUGAAAGUAACUAUGCAUUCACUUAUUUAAAGUGGAUGACUAGAAAGCUGAACAACGCUUCACUUCAGCACUUGGCUUUUCCUUUGAUAUGACUUGGGUCUAAUUAUCUCUAAGUCUUAGUUUAUUAUCUCUCAUGACUAAUUAAUAGUCUAUAUUUCUCAAUAAUCCCAAUGUCUACUAAUCUAUACCUGAUAAGAGACAACUAGGUAGGAUCAUAUUGGAGGUAGGGUUUAUUUGGUAUACAAAGUAUAUUGUUUGGAAGUGCCAAUUUAAACACCUCAUUAAAUCCAACCUCGACAUUAUCCUCGUAAGUAGAUCAAUCAGUAAUAUGAAGUUGAAACACUAAGGAUGAGCUAUAGAACCGGAAAACCGGACCGGCACUGGAUUCAGACUAAAACCGAAACCAGUAUAACUGGAAAUAUCUUAGACAACCCGGUUCUCGGUUCUAAAAAUUGGCCUUGUCCGGGUUCCGGGUAUUCCGGGUAUGGGUCCAAUGGUUACGGGUCCAACGGGUUUGAGAACCGCAUUAAAAAAAACAAAACCGAAUUAAAUGCACCAGACCCGGUUUAUUAGGCCCUGAACCAGAAUUUGAACGGGUAAUAAAAAAAGACGUUGUUGUAUUGGGGAUUUCGAUCAUUAAUCCAGGUUGGGUUUGACGUUGAACAAACGAAGGGUUGCUGUGAUCGGCAUCGACUAUUAGGGCUAAUCAAUAUCGUUUUUCUUGUGUGAUUAGUCAGUAUCGUUUUUCAUGUGUGAUCGACGACAAGAGCAAGACUUCUAGAGGGACGUCAAGUAAAGCAUUAGCAUCUUAUUCUUCUCUCUGUGAUAGAAAUUAAAUAAGCAUGCAAAGAAUUGUAAGAAAAACCUAGACAAUUUGAAAAACCAACAAACAUUACAAUUUAAAAAAGAACCAACCAGGGAGGGUAGUGUUAGCACUUGGAAACAUGACGAUAAACGAAUUAAAAAGGUUGUGUUUAAUUUGUUUGUAGUUGGUGGUCUACCUUUUAAGUUUGUAGAAAAUGAGGCCUCUAUUGAAUACACAAACACACUAAACGGGAAGGUGGUUAUACCUAGUCGAACAACAAUUUCAAAAAAUGUGUCACUUUAUUAUCUAGAAGAAAGAAAUAAGUUGGUAACAUUCUUAUGUAAUCCCCUUAACACGGUUCAUUUGACCACCGAUUUUUGGACAAGUACGAGUAAAAGGGUGCAUUAUAUUGUCAUUACCGCACACUUUAUUGAUAAUAAUUGGGAGAUGCACAAACGGAUAAUCAACUCUAAAGAAUUAGAUAGUCAACGGGGGGAAGAUAUCGGAAAAGAAGUGUUGAAAUGUAUUCAAGGGUGGGGUAUUAAGAAUUUCAUGACCUGCAUGUUUGAUAAUGCAAGUUCUAAUGACAAAGCAAUAGAGUUUCUGAAAAACAAAUUACCAAACUUGUACAAUGAAGGAAAACACUUUCACAUUAGGUGUACGGCACACAUUAUCAAUCUAAUUGUGAGAGAUGGGAUGAAUAAAAAUGACGAGAGUGUUAAAUGUUUGCAAGAUGCCGUAAGAUAUAUUAGAAAGUCCACACAACAGAUUGCUCUAUUUAAAAAGUGCAUGAAAGGCGUCGUGGUGGAAUCAACCAAAUUUUUGUGCAACGAUUGUCCCACUCGUUGGAACUCAACCUAUGAAUUAUUGAAGAUCACAAUGGAUUUAGAAAAAGCUUUCUACGAGUAUGAAAUGGAAGGUAAUUUUUUUUAUUUUCUACAUUGUCGCUGAUUUUUUAGCCCUAUUUAAACUGUCAUAUCUGCUUCAUUAGGAGUCUGUUUGGGCUGAUUUUUUUUUAAAUUGUAGUUCACUGGUUGGCAAUAGUAAUAGACUCUUGAAACACCUCAUUUACAUAUGUAUUGAGUCACUUACAACCCUCCAAAAAUGAUAUAUCAAAUCUGUUUUGAAUCUAUCACAACAUUAUUGUUGAAUUUUUAGUUAUCUUUAAACUGUCAUAUCUACUUCGUCAUGAGUCCGUUCGGGUUGAUUUUUUUUUAAAUUGUAGUUCACUGGUUGAUAAUAGUUAUAGACUUACAGUCCUCCAAAAAUGAUAUAUCAAAUCCGUUUUGAAUAUGUCACAACAUUAUUGCUGAAUUUUUAGUUACCCUUAAACUCUCAAAUCUACUAAAUUAUGAGUCCAUUCGGGCUGAUUUUUUUGAAUUGUAGUUCACUGUUUGACAAUAGCUAUAGACUCCGAAAACACCUUAUUUGCAUAUGUUCGGAGUCAUUUAUAGCCCACCAAAAAUGAUAUAUUAAAGCUUUUUUAUAACAUUUUUUUGAUAGAUCGUUCCUUUGCACGAGAUAUGGCUACCCCCGGGAGUGAAGAUUUUGUAACUUAUCGAGCAAUGGUCUCAUUUCUUGAGAAGUUCAGGUUCAAAACAGAAUUGGUGUCAACGAGUUCAAAACCAUUGGCAAAUCGGUUUUUUGGAGAAGUAUGUGUCAUUUACAAGCAUAUACGAGUUUGGUCGAAAAACAAACGAUUUUCUUCAAUUGGGAAUGAUAUGAUAGAUAAAUAUGAGAAGUAUUGGGGAGAUUUUGAAAUUUUGAAUGACUACAUGUACUUUGCGACUAUCUUGGAUCUGCGAAUGAAGACAGAAUUUCUUAGACAUGCUUUUGAAACAUUGAUCAAGUACAAGAUGCCGGAAAAUAAACCCCUUUCCGAAUUAGAUAUUACUGUAAAGGCUAUGUCUUUAACAAGGAUAUUGAAACAAGAUUUGAGAACUUUUUUAAUGGUUACAAUACCAACUCUAAUGUACCAUAUGAAACAGGUGGUAGUCAAGAUGCCAAACAUAUUGAUGAUGAUGACGACUUUGUGGGUGACUAAUUUGUUCAAUCGGCGAACUCAUCGGAUUCAAAGGAAACAGAAUUAACACGAUACUUGAACGAAGGAAAAACCCAAGAUGUUAAAGACUUUGAUAUACUGGUUUGGUGAAAAAUAAUGCAUCUUGUUACCCAAUUCUCUCAUAGAUGGCAAAAGGUAUAAUUUUAAUUACUUAUAUUUUUUAUUAUAAUGUAGUAUAAUUUAACAUUAUAUGUUUAUGUUAUUAGAUAUUUUGGGCAUUCAAAUAUCCACCGUGGCAUCCGAAUCCGCUUUUAGUACAAGCAGUCGCAUAACUGAUAGUUACCGAGCAAACUUGUCCACACCUAUAAUAGAAGCUUUGGCUUGCACCCAAGAUUGGGUAAGGAAAUCAAAGAAGCCGAUUGUUGAAAACAUCGAAGACAUAUUUAAAGAUGAUGACAUAGCUAAAGGAUACAAACAAAUUCAUUUUAUUAUCUAAUAACAAAACAUUGGUUAUAUGCUCACUUUCAUCACUUUCACAUUAAUUUUUUUUCUGGUAUGUAUUAGAGUUGGAAGACACCAUACGCACCCAAAACGGAAAUGGAAAAAGGCCGAUAGAUAUUAACGAGUAGUUAUAUUCUUUUUAUUUUUUUUUGUUGAUAAAUGAUUAUUGGUUUGUAAGUGUUUGGUUGGGUUGAUUAAUGUUUUUGAACUUGAAUCAAAUGGUGGUAAAGUGAUGACGUUACUGUUUGGAAUAUUUGAAUUUAUGUGGAUAAGAAGAUGCAUUUGUUUGGUUAAUGAAGAUUUAUACUAAAUUGAUUGCUUUCAUUUUAUAUGUUAGUAUUCUCUAUCAACGAUAUAACAUCCCAAUUUUCAAGACCAAAAAUUUCAUUUUGAUAUAACGAUUUAGAAAAAAAACAUUUAUAAGGAACAUCGUCGAGUCACAUCAUUUCAUAAAACCAUAGUCACAUGUCUCAAAACCAUAUCAUAAAAUAGUAAGAAUGUCAGAGUACAAUCCCAAGAAUCUCAUAAUGUGGAAAUCAUGUGUGUGUGUGAUGCGCUACUACCGUGUCGACUCCUUCCCCUUCGAUGAAGAGGUACCUGAAAACUAUAAACACAAAGCUUAGUGAGUUCCCCCAUCAUACCAUAUACCACAUAACUAACAUACUGUCGGACGAUUCUAGGGUGCCCGACCUACCCUGUCUGGCAUUUCUGGAGUGCCGGCCUACCAUGUCUGGCAAAUUCUGGAGUGCCGACCUACCCUGUUUGGCAAUUAUGGGGCGCCGACCUACCCUCCGGUUUAUCUUAUCCAUCUACUACUACCACAUAAUAACAUAACAUAAACAUGCUGUCAGACAUAUCUAGGGUGCCCGACCUACCAGUCGGUCCUUACGACCGUAACACGGUGACUAUUCCCCCUACUACUUACUAUUACAUAACAUCAUAUCAUGCUAGCACAUAAUCAUAACAUAUAGCAACAUACCAGAUAAUUAUCACGAAGACAAUUAUCUCUACUAUGACUCUUACUAGUGGGCUGGCCUUGGUGCCUUAGAUCCAGUUCUACUGGAAGGUAACUCACAUCAAUGUCGUGUUGUAACUAAACUGUCCUCGUUGUUAGGGUCAACUCCUCUCAAACUCCGACACAUAACAACCAUCCUUAAUUACCAUUUCAUACUCGUAACCCUUUCAAGGUUCAACUCAAGUCAAAGUCAAAGUCAAAGUCAAGGUCAAGGUCAAGGUCAACCCCCUGGUCAAAGUCAACAUCUGGUUGACUCAACUCGUCGCGUUGGUCCACCAACUCGUCGAGUUCCCUCCUACAUAGUCGGGACUUUUACUCUUGUCUCGUCGAGUUCUUCUUCAAACAGAGUCGGGACCUUUUGCUCAUGACUCGCCGAGUUCAUCCUUGAACUCGUCGAUUCCUGCUUCAUAUCAGUUGGGACAUUUGUCUUGAACUCGCCGAGUUCAUCCUUGAACUCGUUGAGUUCUUUGAUCUUCAAGUCGAUAUUCACGUCCAUCUUGUUGAGUCCUCUUCUAGACUCAACCAGAUUUCUCAGAAACUAGAAAAGGUUGGGGAACCAUGACCCGACUCGCCGAGUCCAAUGAACGACUCGCCGAGUCUCCCAAAGUCCAAGUCCAUACAGUCGAUUUUAGUUGGGCUUAUAGCAUCCAAACCAUAGAUCUGGCCUCCUAGGGUCGAUAUAACAUGUAAAGUUACAAUCUUUAUGUGCAGGCAUGGGUGUUAUGAAGCUAAAACACCAAAACUAAGCCAUAAAGGAGUUCUAAUGCAUGGGAUAGGGCCAUUGCUUAAUAAAGGUGGCAACGUUAAGCUUCCUGAGCUCAAAAGUUCCCAGAUCUGAAGUCAUUACUCUAUUAUGCACUCAAAUCCCGAGAGCGACUUAGAAAUGGCCCAAAAUGACAAUAUGCAAGCCCUAAAGAAGAUCUAAGUGAUGGAAAUCCAAGUUAUAAGCUUUAUACCUCAACCACGCUAGAAAUGCAACCUAAGCUCUAGAUCUAUUGCCCUCCUCUUGAAUCUCCAAGCGUUUCCUUCUUUCUCCAAGCUUCAAAUCACUAAAAUGGCACAAAUAAGCUCAAGAACACUCACAAGCUGAUUAGGGUUGCAAGAAUAAGGUCUGAGGGUGAUGGACGCUGGAGUGGAGGCCAUAUAAGGUGUUUAAAUUGGGUGCAAACCCUAAAAUUUAGGGUUUCAUUCAGAUAGAUCUACUCGUCGAUUUGGGGCUUCAGACUCGUCGAGUAGACUCNNNNNNNNNNNCCCCCCGUCCAAGAUUCGCCCUUACUCGAUGAGUUUGGGGUCUCAAUUUGUCGAGUCCCAAUAUAAAAAAAAUGCAAAACUCAUUUAAAAUAUGUACCGAGAACCGGGCGUUACAACCAAGCAUUCAUUCAAAUUAAAAUUCUUAAACUAAAAAAAAUACAUGACUUUCUUCUAUGAGAGUACCUAGUCUAACAUUAAAAACAAUUCAAAUCAAAAUUCUUAAACAGUUAAGAGCAAAACAGUACAUGCUCCUUGUCCUUGACCAUCUUAUCUAGUUAACACAUCUUCAAUCUCUGUACAUAAAACAAAAAUAAACAUAUUUAGUAUUGAAAAAAAUGUUACCAAAUAAAUAAAAACACAUUAUUUGGAUUUUUGGCACACAUACGACAAUUUUUAGUAACACUACUUGUACUGUGUCUCGAUGGAUCGGCCUAAAGUAUAGCGAAGCAAUACUUACACUUUGCUUGUCUUCGUUUAACCCCAUCAUCUUCUACUACCCACAACAUAUAUGUUUGCAUUUCUACUUAAAUAAGAUCUUAUAUCAUCCAAAUAGCAAUCAUUAUCAUGUAUUCUCCCCCAAAAUAUAAAAGCUUUAAAAAAGGGACCGUAAGCACUCACCUUAAUGCAUGAUUUGUGAACUAGAGUCGAGAGUGCAGUUAUCUUUGAGAAGCACUUUGAGAAAACACAAUCUAGGAAUGAUCUAAACCGGGGCUGUUUUGGACUUGAUUUAAACCCACAAAACAAAACCAAAACUAUAUUAUUGAACUAUAAAAACACCACAAAAUAUUGCAACCCAAGGGACGACACUAAAGGUGGUGGAAUGGUGGGCUAAUGGUGGUGGUUUACCGGCGGUUGAAGGGGCUGCUCUGGUGGGGAGUUCUAGGCCGAGAAAGAAAGAAAUGGAGAAGGAGAGGUGAAGGCUGAUGAAUUGUGAGGAAAUGGGAAGCUAAGGGCUUCCUUUUAUAGCAUAAGUGAGCUCUCACAUGUCCAUGCAUACCAUGCUUUGUUAGAAAGUCAAACACUUAAUGUGGCCAUACUUUGUCCUUUAGAAGAAGAGUAAACACAAGAUGUUAAGGUGGAAGAAUAGAGGGGGGAAGGCUACUCACGUGGGCAAGGAGGGUGGGGUGCCCAUGGCUGAUUUUUAUCACCUCUUGCAAGGAUGGUGGGCCAUGAUGAUGUCACACAUAGCAAAAAGUCCCAAAAUUGCUUCUAGAUUUGCAUGCCAAAAUCUCGACACCUAAUAUUUUUUUUUAAAGUGGCUUAUGAUAUAGUAGAGUUCAAGGAUUCCAAAAACCCGAACGGAUUAACGAGUUGUAGAACUUCGGGAAAUCGUGUUUAAAGUUUCGCAUCUAAAUGACCCAAAACGCUCGAUUUUUCGACUUUUGCAAAUAUUUUCACUAAAAAUAUUUCGAGUAUAAAAUUAAAUAUUAGACCAUAGUUUGAGUCCAAUAACGCUCUCAGAAUUUCCAUAUGAUGUGUGCAAGUGCCUCAAGGAAUAGAAAUGAUUAUAGCGGUUUAAAGAAAGUUAGUGUUAUACUGGUUUGGUUUCGUAUAACAGUCGUAUCUUCUACAUACAAACUCCAUUUUGGGUGUUCUUUAUAUUUUCAUAAAUAGGUGAACAUGUACUAUGAGACUAGAGUUUUUGCUUCGUUCACAACUGCUUAAUACGAAAUUUUAGUUUUUCAAACCUAUUAACUAGGGUUGCUGUUUGAGCUGUUUGAUUCGUUUGUGAUUUUACACAUUUGGAAGUAAGAUGCCAUGGUAUCUUAUAAUAGUUGUGAUGACACUAUAUAUUAUUCAAAAUAUGCAUUAAAGCUAAUAGGUCAGAUUACAAAGAGGUACACGGUGAACUGACUGUCUACAGUUUUAGACCUAAAUUUUGGGAUGUCAUACUAAGAUUGAUAGACUACAUAAUUCUAUUGAUAUGAUUGAAUCUAAAGAACAAAUGACCCACAAUUUUCGUCAUCCUUGGUCUAAAGCACCUGGUCUUGAAAGCGAGUCUCCGAAACCUAUUUCUAAUACCCUGAAAGAACUUUAAAAUUUGACAUUUAUGGGAGACAUUUUGAACCAUACUUAUUCGGAUAUUGUUGCCUUACCAUUGUCAUCCCUUUAAGAGACUUCAAACAAAUAUCAGUCACUAAUUUCUGACUUCAAACCAAUCACUAUUACAUGUCAUGAUCCCAUGCAACUUCCACCUCUAAUAUCCAUUGGCCCGAAUUAGUCUUCAAAAAUUCCACAUGGCACUGGGGGUACUAGAGUAUAUCUUCCCAACUUUGGUCCUCUAAAAAAUUGCGUUGUUGAGGAAAUCAUUCAUGAGACAUGCGGACAUGACUCGGAUCAACCUAACUUAUUUCGGGUGUCCAUUGAUAGUGAUGUUGAUAAAUAAAUCAGACGUGAUGACGACUCUUCGUCCAUCAGACGUGAUGACGACUCUUCAUCCAUUUCGUCUAUUCCACACUCUAGAGUUGUCUCAAAGUCCACAUUAGCUCGAAUUAAGCCAUGUUUCAACAAUCCAUUUGUAGGAAAAUAUUCUAAGUCAUCAUAUGACUGUAGGAAGAAGCCCUGGUUAAACAAGAAGGAUAAUGUUCAUAUGGAGAUUGGGGCUCAAAAGGCUCUUGAACAAAGAAACUAUGUCUAAACAAAGCUCUAGGUUCCUUGAGAAAUCAGAUAAGAAAGUGUCACAAAAAGUAGUUAGUUCCGCUACGAGGAAUCACAAUUCAUUCAUGCCGGUUAAAAUAAUUAAUAGACCAUAUAUUCCUGUUAGCUCGAAUAUUCCUACUUCUACAAAGAAACAUUCUGCAAAUAUGUUAAUAUUGACUCAUCACCAAAGAAUAGUAAGGGGUUGUUUGUUUACCUCUUAAUGCCUCUUAAAAACAGAGAUAUCUGAAUUAUUUCCAUUAAGAGUGUUUUGCAGCAUCUAAUUGUUUGCCUCUUAAUUUUUCAAAAGGCUCUUAAUAUUUCAGAUGUGAGUAUGCAUUUGAAAAGAAAAAAGAGGCUCGCGUAUUUCACUUUUCUUAACCUAUCCUCUUCAGUCUUCACCCUCUUCUCUUUUUCUUGCAGCCAUAAAAAAUACCCGCAUCCAUCCUCUCUGUUGCACUUCACAGAGGACCAUUGUCUGCCGUUGCACGCACCACCUCUGUCGCAGGUCAUCGUCGACCCCACCGCCCCCUUCCUCCCACUCCGUUCUGCCUUCCUCUGGCUAGAGACGCUGCCUUUCUUCCCCUCGCACACCGACCGCCGCUGCCUACUCCUUCCCCUCAAUCACAGUGAAAUUUUUACUGUUUCUUUUACAAAAACAUGGAACCAGUUUUAACAAAUAACAAUUUCUGAUGAUUUCGUUUAUUCAUAUUGUUUCUUAAUUCUUAUGUAAAUUUCUAGGUAGAAAACAUGAGAUUGCAAGGUUCCCAAAUUAUAAAAAUGUUGUUUAUUAUUUCCAUUGUCAAAAGAUUAAAGGAUACAACCUCUAAAGUGUUUUUUAUAAAUGUGCUUAGUUUUCACAUAAUUGUUUGAAGGUACUUGGUGUGUUGAUUGUGUAUGCAGGACUAUUGGAUUUUGUACAAUGAAUUCUGCACAUGAGGUGUUCGAUGGAAUGCUCGAGAGAAGUUAUGUAUGUUAUGGUGAAAAAAUUAUAACUAUACAUAUGGAUAUGAUUUGUGUGUGUGCUUUGAUAUUAAUUUUAGUUUCAAUUGACAAAAAAUUGCUUAUAUAUAUUAUUAGAUUUCGAAACAUGUCAAUUUUAUAUGUAUUUCAAGUUGUUUUUGUUAGGAAGGUAAAAUGGUUAUUUUUAUCAUUUGACACAGAAAUUCAGAUGUUCCAAACAAACAACAUUUUAUAAAUUCAGACCCUCUUAGAAAUUCAGAUCUCUUAAAAAUUCAGAUCCUCCCAAAGAGCCCCUAAACUCUCUUCGAAAAGUGUCCUCUCCAGUAUUUACUGCCACCUCAAAUGGAAAAAAAUUUAAGCAAAAAAAAAUCUCCAAAUGUGCCUACAAGAGAUGUGAAUAAAGGAAAAGAUACUCAUAACUUUUAUGUUCGGAACCCCACAAAAGGUCCAAAUCUGAAAUGUGAAUGGAAGGCUAAAGGGAAUGGAAAUUCAACCGAGCAAUUUGCCAUUCUGCAUACUCAAAAUCAAAAACGACUUGGUACAAUUUCAAGCCAUUCUAUAAUCCAAAUCAUGAAUUCAGACCACUAAACCUUUCAAUUUGAUUUCUUACAGCUUUGUUUUUGUGUCGUGAUUAUGUUGCUUAAUAGUGUUUCUUUUCCCAUGAAUUCUGCAAACGAAUUUGGUUUCUAAUGAAAUUGCCACUCUUCUAAUGAUAAGAACAUUGGUAUGGACCCUUUGAAUAUGGAGCAGAAUUUUGUACAUGAUGAUGUUCCCCAUUAACUUUACUUAAAACGAGCACAUACAAUGUUAUCAAUCUUUUGAUUGAAAAGACAGAAGAUGUCUAUCAAUGGAGUUAACUAAAGCAUUUUAUAUAUUUUUUUUCUUAUUGGAAAUCUUGUGUUUACUAAUCUUAAAAGUUCAUACUUUGUUAGAAUAUGAUAUUUUUUUAUCCUUGUAGUUUCUCAAUGUUUGUUGCCAUUAAUUACACAUUGAUGUUUGACUUUGACUGCUACAAUAUAGAAUGUAGAAUGUUGUUGCUUUUUCUGAAGUUGUCAAAGUUUGUUGUCAUUUAUGGAGGUUUGGUGUUUGGAUGCCUCCUGCUUCUAAUUCAUAUAGAUAUCUCAACAUUCAUUGGCUUCUGAAACAUAGUAGACCUAUUCAAGACUCAAACCUCAUACGGAAGUAAAGGAGAAAAUCACAAAAGUUGGUGGGCUGAAUUUUGACCUUCAAUGUCAAAUAUGUUGUUUUUUAACUUUGAAAUCUUUAAGAAAUACUAAAAGAACUAAUCAAACAGGAAGGUGAGAGAUAUUAUAGACACAAUUCAAACAAGUGAAAACCUCAAGUUUCUCUGAUAAAGAUUCAAUUUCAUAAACUAUCAUCUUAGCCAUCUCUUCAUCUAUGUCAACAUUUUUUUGACAAAACUGACAAAAACAAGGUAACCACUUAUGAUCUUAGCCAUCUCUUCAUAAACAAUCCUUGAAUCCUUUGUAUGUUGCUACAACCUAGUAGUUCAAACUUCAAACUUGAAAGCAUGUGAAUCUUAUUGUUCAUGAUUAACAACAAUUGCAAUAAAUAGCAAACUACUUACAUUUAUUUGUUUACCUUCAAUAAUGAUUAACAUUCUCUACAAACAACUAUUUUUCUCUAGUCCUCUUGUUCCAAGUUCAUCGUAUGGAAUCUGCAAGAUCACUCCCACUACAUACACUAACAAAACUAACCCAUGAAUGUACAUAUGAACAUAACUUUCCAUGCAGAUCAAUCGUAAAAGCAAACGAGUUUUGUACCAUAAUUCAAGAUGUUAACAACUUUUGAAAAGCAGUGAAGUAUGUAAAACUCAUGGAAGUUUUGUGUAGGCUAAAAAUCAAUGGACAGAUAGGUACUUUUAAAUUUUAAACUUUUCUAAAAGGGAAAUAUUGUAACUUUAUGAAAAGUGUUGUAGUAUUUAAACAUCUUAUACUUUUUUUUUGCUUGUUGAUCAACUCAUCAAGUUCACGGAGAGCAAGGAACAAGCAUGAAAGAAAACAAAGAGUCAAUUUUGAUGAGUUGAUAGGAUGCUCAAUUUUUUGGCACAUUGGAUCUUAAUUUAGUUUUAGUUGUAGUUUAAUUUUGGGUUUUGGUUGAUUUGAGUGAGGUAUUUUUGGUUUAGAUGAUGAAGGAGAAAAAGACGAGGACAAUUUAGUCAUUUCACUUGGACUUCACGGACAUUUUGCAACACCAUCAGCAGUUGGUACAAACCUUACAACAAAACUAUACUUUUUUGACCACUUGUGCAACAAAUGAAAUAUCUAGAUGAAAACCAUAACUUUUGAAAUAUCAAAAGGACGAAAUACUAUUGUCUGUCCCCUGGGGUAUCCAAAAAAUAUCAUUUUCCAGGUAAAUACUCUGCAACAUGAAAUUGCAAUAAAUAUAAUAUGUGGGUCAGGGUGAUAGAAGUUGGAGGGCAAAAAAGACAUUUACAUGUCACUGGUUUUUGAUAGUCAUGUACUCUGAUGUUAACUAAGACAACAUACUGCCUCUCCUCUCUGUGUAUGUUGAAUCAUAUGAAUAAGAUCCCAUGAAAAAUGGCCAAACCUAGAAUAACAUGUCAUUAACAGAUUUAGUUAAAACUAGCCAAAAGGGUAAAUGUGUAAAUUGUACCAAAAUAUAAAAGCCUCUUUUUCGCAAGUGUUCCACUCCCUCAUCGAAUAUUCACUUUUUUAAUGCAUCUGGAUCCGUGACUCAGCCUUCAUAAUCCAAAAAGCUUGACCUCUGAAUAACAAAAGAGCAACUUGCUUAUUCUGUUUACAUUGAAUAUAGACAAUGCACUAUUUUUUUACCAAAAAGAGCAGCGUACUUACAUUUCUUUACCAAUAGAAGCAAUGUAUUUAUACUUUGUUCUUUAUCCAUAAUAGCAGCAUACUUAUAUACUUUUACCUGUAAUAGCAACAUAUUUUUAUUUCCCUACUAAAAUGAGCAAAAUGUACUUUAUUUGUUACAUAUUGCUAACUAUUGGUAAAGAGAUCCAAGUAUGUUGCCCGUUUUUAUAAGUUUAACAUCUAGGUGACGACCCAGGUACCAAACAUGUUAUGAAAACUAUGACAAUAACACUUUAAGAAAAUACAAGACAUAGAGGAUCAAAAUUAAAAAAAUCAGCUACACUCAUGGGCCAAAAUUUAAAUAUUACUAAAAUAAGCUAGAUAAAUCACUCUUAUAUUGUUAUUUAAAUACUGUUACAAAAUCAUUGAUAUUCAGUAAUGAAAAAUAUCCUUUAAGUACUAAUAGUAGAAUAAAAUUAUGUAUUAAAGUAUUAACAUUUGAUCCAGUAACAAAAAUUGCCACCAGAAAGAAUGAGAUGAAAUCCAUAAUUUCUUAACAUUAUUGGUUUGGCUAAAAUAAAUAGUAACAACAAUAAGUUGCUUGUUCAAGCUUCACAGCUGAAUGAAGAGGCUCUUGCAAAAAAAAAAUGAAGUUUUUUAACAGUAUUCUCAUAUAUAAUAUGUUUAUUCACAAAAGGGAAUUGAUUAUUACCUCAUCAGAGAUACAAAAGUAAACACCAGCACCCUCUUAACAUCGUAUUAAGUGUGUGUUAAUAUGUUAGAUUUUGAAUGUAUAAUGUCAUAAGGAAAAGUAUCAUCCUCCUUAAUAAAUGAAGGUUUUUUGACACUUGUCAUUCUCUCAUGAGAUUUGACACGUAUCAUAUAUAUGAUAUUAAAUUGUAAUAAAUACGUUUCUUUCUUUCUUAUUUUAAAGUUGUAUAUUAAAAAAUAUUUUAUUUUUAUACUUUAAGUUUAAUCAUUUUUUAAAUCAACCCGUAUAAUAUACGGUCUCACACCUAGUGUUAUAUUUAAAAGUACAAUCUUAAAAGUAAAUAAGUGAAAGAUCUAUCCAAUUAUUGCACAGUUAGCUUUUUUCUUAUUAGAAGAUUCUUGCUUAUUAGGAUAUUACACAAAUAAAAGAAAAUAAGUUGUUUAUUGCAUUUAGCACUAAAUAUAACUUACACUUUAAGAANNNNNNNNNNNNNNNNNNNNNNNNNNNNNNNNNNNNNNNNNNNNNNNNNNNNNNNNNNNNNNNNNNNNNNNNNNNNNNNNNNNNNNNNNNNNNNNNNNNNAAAAAAAAAAAACAACCCUUUUAGACCUAAACCACCAACCUGACAAUAAGAACAUGUUGUUUUAACUGUAGCAAGAAACUCCUCCACUAUAGAAGUAAAGAGGAACCUGAAAUUAGUAGAUCACAUUUGAAAAUUCAUAAAUAUAUUUUGCCUUCUGGCAUAAACAAAUGCAUAUGAAAACCUCAUAGAUGUUAAUAACAAUGAAAACAAAAUCAAAUUAUAGCACAAAAGACUGUAACUUAAAGGACAAAACUAACCUUUCUCAGAUAGCCAUGGAUUUGAAUUUUGAGCUUUAGCUUUUUUAAGGUAUCCAUGUCUAUUAUGUCAAAAAGAAAGUAUUAUCUUACUACAAUAACAAACAAUCUAAUAGAACAUACAUACAUUACAAAAAACUAAAAUAAUACUUCAGAGGAAUAGAUCAUUUCCAUAAAUAGUGAAGAGCCUUGUUUGAUCAACUUCAAACCCCCACUGAUCCUCUCUGUGGCGUAUUGAGUUGGAUGAACUAAAAAUAUGUUACCAAUAGAAGCAAUGUAUUUAUACUUUGUUCUUUAUCCAUAAUAGCAGCAUACUUAUAUACUUUUACCUGUAAUAGCAACAUAUUUUUAGUUCCCUACUAAAAUGAGCAAAAUGCACUUUAUUUGUUACAUAUUGCUAAUUAUCGGUAAAGAGAUCCAAGUAUGUUGCCAUUUUUAUAAAUUUAACAUCUAGGUGACUACUAAACCUGUUAUGAAACCAUGAAAUCAGUAGCAAAAAUUCAGAAAAGUAUAUGUUACUACUAUAAUAAACAAUCUAAUAGAACAUAAAUACAUUACAAAAUACUAAAACAGUACUGUAGAGGAAUAGGACAUUUCCAUAAAUUUCUUGAUCAACUUCAAAUAUUUUGAAUAUAAAACGCUAUAAAUGUUAACCAAAAUGAAACAAGUUCAGAUUUUUAAAAUACAAAUCUAACUAGGUUAGAUUUUUAAAAUGCAAUGUCUUGGUAGGAAAAAAAUUAUAUGCACAAUGUCUUAAUAGGAAAACAGUAGAAAGUACAAUUAACUUAAAGGAAAAAUAGUUGUCAAAAAUAUUGAACUAUAAUUGGCACAACCGGAAUCAAACAAACUUAAUAUUAUGAAGGCAAAAGGUCUAGAUUUCUAUAUGCUCUUCUUGACUGCUCCAGUUAUCCUAUCAAAUAACCACAAAUUAGUAGAUGAAAUACAUAAAUUAAGAUUUGUUAGGCAGCUUACAAUCUUCAGAAAUUCAUAUAACAUGGGGAAGAAUCUAUGUGUUGAUAAGUGUCGCAGAUUAGAUUAGAUGACCCUAAUAAUAACCAUACAAAUACAAAGCGAUUUCACUGCUUACAUAGGUAAACUUUUUCGAAAAUUAAAAAUUAAAAUUGGUGUCCACUUGUAUAACAUAUUAUAGAAACAUCAUCAAAGGGUGAUGAUUGUUACUUCCCUAAAGCGCACCGAUUCAUAUGGCAAACAAAUCAGUAAUAUAAGAAUGGGUAGAAAUCAUGAAAGAUUAAAAACUCAAAUCAAAGAAACUCAUGUUAUUGGAGAUACAUGUUUAAGAAAAUGAUACAAACUUUAACCCCGGUUUCUGAUGGAAGAGAUGCAAUUGAUAAGAAAUGAUUAACCAUCAUACCAUUAUCAAACCCCCACAGAAGGAAUCUCUGACAAAAAGCUCAUCAGCAAUUGAAAUGUCAAAGUGAUUGAUUAGCAACUAAUAUCACAAAUUUAAGCGUUUGAAAAAUAUGGCUUUGUGCAGAAAUCAUGUUGAAAAAUAUUGAUUAGCAACUAAUAGCAACUAAUUCACAUCAUCCAGACCUGCAAGAUCAAGAUUGGGCAUUAAUUUCAGUUUACUACAUUUGCAGCAUAAAGAAAGAUGAUUUAUGUCAAUGUUUUAUAUUCAGUUUUAGUGUAGAAAGCCUAACUAAUGUGAGGAUGAUGAGGAAAUCCAGUGACUAGCUUCAAAGGAUAAUCUGUCACCAAAAGAGAAAUAUGUCAAGGUUUCAUAUUCAAGCAAUAUCUAAUGUUUGAUAAUGAACCCAACAAGUAAACACUCCACUUUCAUGUCUUCAAUUUCUUUGGAAGAUCAACAUUGUACCCGUGUUCUACCACUAACAUAUCAACAAAAUAAGUAACGAUGGUGUUAAAUGUAGAGCAAAAGAAGAGGGUGUAUUUACAUUAGAAUGUGUAUAUGAAUAUGAAAUCCAGAGUUGAUAAAAAACACAACCAUGGAACAACAAAAAUGUACACUGAUUUAGGCAAAUGUCUCUUGAUUUGAUGACUGAAACAAACUAAUAUCAAAUCCUAACCUUCGUGAGUGUCCUUCAAAACAUAAUCCCCAAAUGUGUGAAACAUAUCAACUAUUCAUGUCUUAUUUUUACAGCUUCUCCUAUUAAACUAAUUUCGUUUCGAGUUUUCAGAAAGUGGACCACAUAGAUGCAUUCAACAAUUCACACAUUGAAUCCAAAUAUUUGAUAUGCAAUAUAAAACUUUUAGGUGUCUCGCUCGCUGAUUCUAAAAUAUGCCACAUUCUAAAGUAGUUGGUUAUGUACAAUAAAUCUGUUUCGCGUGUAAUUAUGAAAUUCAAAUAUUUAUAUUCAAUAUUUUUUACAUCAUAAUAAAAUUUAUAUAAUUAAGGAGUGAAAAAACCUCUCUGAUGAUCCAUCGUGGACCAAAAGAAAAAAAAAAGAUCCACAAACAUAUUGAUACCUAGGAUCUGCAUGUCAAUUGAAGAAACAACAAAAAGGCCUGCACAUUCAUUAUAAUUAAAGACUUACAUGUAACUAACUUAAAUGGAAGAAUGAGAAACAAUGCACUUACAUGUAACUAACAGGAUGAUCAAAGGCUUCAUGGUCUGAAAAGGAUACACAUACACAUAUGUACACAUAUGCUGCAUACAAGUUCAACUUCUUUAUUGAAAAACUGGAACCAUGCAUGUUGAUACAAAAUCAGGUUGAUAAGCUGCAUGGGAAAGUAAAUAAAUACUGUUAAACUCUUACAACUGUGUGUAACUUUCAUGCAGUAUAAGCGUAUAAGUAGGUGAAAAACUUACAGAUGGUUAUAGUUUCUAUGCAUCAGUAAUAACAUUGUUCUAACUGCUCCUUUGUCACCUACUUGAAUGAAAAAAAAAACAUUUCUCAGAAAAAACUACUAAACAAGUCACUUAAUAGAAAAGCAUUGUAACACUUGAUGAAUGUUGUGAACAUCUAAACAAAUAAAUUUAUACCUCAACAUUUGGUUGUCAAACAUCUGAUGCAUACAACAUUCACAAUUUGAACUUGUAGAGUCUGUAGGGGCCAAGUCAUGUAUAAUUAAUUAGUUUCUUGUCUACAAACUAUGCAUCUGUUAGAUGGACCUCUUCUUUAUAAUCUAAUAAAAUUCAAAAGAGACCGAUUUCAAUUAAAAAGUCCAAACAAUAAAGACAAAGUUUUUUUUAAAUGAAUUACAGCAGGAGUGGGGGAGAAAGUCCAAAAAUAUAUAUUAUUUUUAAUCACAAAAGAGAUUUGAUUAUUACCUCAUCAGUUGUACAAUGGUAAAAACUGUGGGAUAAGUAAUUCUGACUUGGUCUUUUGUUGACCUUGUCUAAAGGAAUAAGUGGUGUAGCUGCCACCAUUUUAGGAGGACACGUUUUUACAGUUUUUUAGCUUAGCAGUUUUUCCCUUUUGCUUAUUAUUUAAAGCCUUGUAAGUCUCUUGUUUUUGAUAAAGAAAUUGAAUAAGAAGAAAAGCUGGAAUCUUUCCCUGCAACUCUGUUUUUCCUUAUUUGGGCAUACUCUUUUGAUCAGUAACAGGCCCUGCACCAACACUUGGUAUCAGAGCUUUCUAGCUUAUGCCCAAAUACAUAAGGUACGACAACAUGACAGGUUCCAGUCAACAAGUACCAAGAGAUAACGGUGGGGUGUCGUUCCAAUGUCCAUUGUUGACUUCAACAAACUAUACAACGUGGGCAAUCAAGAUGGAGGCUAUCAUGGAUGCUCAAGGUGUUUGGGAAUCCAUAGAACCAACAGUCGGGGUGAUUGUUGACGAGAAGAAGAACAAGAUGGCACGAGCCUACAUCUUCCAAGCAAUACCGGAGGACAUUCUCAUGCAGGUAGCAAAGAAGAAAACCGCAAAAGAGAUGUGGGAAUCGUUGAAAAUCCGUUACCUGGGGGCAGAUAGAGUGCAAAAGGCGAGGUUACACUCACUCAAGAGUGAGUUUGAUGCACUGAGGAUGAAAGGAGAGACCAUAGAUGAAUUCGCAGGAAAGUUAAGUGGUAUUAACUCAAAAUACAUCAGUCUUGGUGCAACAAUGGAAGACAGCACUUUGGUGAGAAAGUUGCUUGAUUCUGUCCCAGAAAAAUUUCUACAGCUUGUGGCCUCGAUUGCAGUAUUCAGNGGCCUCGAUUGAACAGUAUUCAGACUUGGAUACAAUGCCAUUUGAAGAAGCUAUUGGCAGACUCAAGGCCUAUGAAGAUCGACUACGAGUUCGGGGUGAAAACUCGAAUGCUGAAGCGGGUUUGUUGCUGACUCGAUCUGAAGGGCAAAUGGGUCAAAAAUCACAAAAGGGCUCUCCUAGUGCAGCAGGAAGAGGUCGUGGAUCUUCUAAUGAAAGGGGAGGUCGAGAAGGUUAUCGAGGAAGAGGCUCAAGAGGUAGAGGCGGCCGAGGAAAUCAACAAUCAUUCCGAGAUACAAGUAAUGGUCGAGGAAAGGGAAGAGAUAAAAGUCACAUAAAAUGUUUUAAUUGUGACUUGUUUGGACACUUUGCAUCGGAGUGCCCAAAUCCCAAGAAAAAAGAAGCUGAUGUUAAUCUCACACAGGUACAGGAUGUAGAACAUGCGCUAUUGUUAACUGUAUGGGGUGAAGAUACAGAUGAAUUGGUGUUGCUCAAUGAAGACAAAGUUUUCCCAGCAACAAAAGGGAAUGAGAAGGACACAUGGUACUUAGACAAUGGGGCCAGUAACCACAUGACAGGGGUGCGAGAAUACUUUGCAGAACUUGAUGAAAGAAUAACAGGGCAAGUGAGAUUUGGGGACGGAUCCAAAGUACAAAUCAAAGGAAGAGGAACAAUUCUGUUGGAGUGUAAAAACGGGGAGCAACAGAUAAUAUCUGAAGUAUAUUACAUCCCUGCCUUGAAGAGUAAUAUACUUAGUCUUGGUCAAAUGACAGAAGUGGGGUACAUAAUUGAGAUGAUCCAUGAAUUUUUGAGAGUUCAUGAUGAAAGAAAUCGGCUGAUCAUGAAGGUACAACGCUCGAGAAACCGGUUGUACAAGAUCGUGCUCCAUACGUCACAACCAAUAUGUCUAAGUGCAAGUUUGGAUGAUGUUGUUUGGCUUUGGCAUGCAAGGCUGGGGCAUAUAAAUUUUCCCUUGAUUGAGUCCAUGGUAGAAAAAGAGCUGGUGAUUGGAGUGCCGAGAAUCAACCAUCCCACACAAGUUUGUGAAGGAUGUCUAGUCGCAAAACAAACACGACAACCGUUCCCAAAAGAAACUCAAUGGCAAGCAAUGAAUCCUCUAGAAUUGGUACAUGCAGACCUCUGUGGCCCAAUAACACCCCAAACUAUAGGAGGUAAUCAAUAUUUCCUCCUCAUAGUAGAUGAUUGUAGCAGAUAUAUGUGGGUGACGAUGAUCAGAACCAAAAGUCAAGCAUUUGAUGCGUUCAAGAAGUUCAAGACUCGUGUAGAAGCUGAAGGGAAGUUCAAACUAAAAAUGUUGCGCACAGACCGAGGAGGUGAAUUCACGUCUAAAGAAUUCAAUGAUUAUUGCAACCAGGAGGGAAUUAAAAGACAAUUGACAACGCCCUACUCCCCACAACAGAACGGGGUAGUAGAGCGUCGGAAUCGAACAAUUCUUGAAGCCACCAGGUCCUUAUUGAAAGCAAUGGAUGUCCCAGAAACACUUUGGGGGGAAGCCGUUCGCCACGCGGUUCAGAUACUUAAUAGAGUGCCAACAAAAGGAGUCAAGAAUAUGACCCCAUAUGAAGCUAUGUAGGGGAAGAAACCAACACUCGAACACUAUAAAGUGUUUGGUUGUGUUGCUCAUGUAAGAGUGCCAUCGAAUCAGCUCACAAAAUUGAGUGAUAGAAGUGAGAAGAUGAUUUAUCUAGGAAACGAGGAGGGAACAAAAGGCUAUCGCCUGUACUGCCCUAAUCGGAAGAGAAUUUGGGUAUCCCGUGAUGUUAUAUUUGAAGAGAAAAAGAAAGGGGAUUGGGCUAAGCCCCAAUCUCAAGGCCCAAUUUUAAAUGAUUGGGUCAGAUUUCCUAGUGAAGGUAUGGCCCAAGAAUGUGUGGUGGGGAACGAUCCAAUACAAGGGGAGAUGGCAAGCCCUAAUUCACAAUCCAGUGAAAGCCACUCACAACCGACAUCUCCUGGUCAAUCACAAAUUGGCAACGAAAGGGGUGAAUCACCAAACUCAUUUGCGGGCAUCGGAUCUCCAUCCUCAGACGAAGGACUUAGUGCAGACAGAGAAACAUACGAUGACACACCAGUUCGUGGCUUUCGGUCCUUGGCUGAUAUAUACGAGGAAACGCAAGCCCUACAAGAAGAUUCAGAAGUNAAGCCCUACAAGAAGAUUUAGAAGUUUUAAUGUAUGCUGGAGAAGAACCCACUACCUAUGAAGAAGCCUCGAGUGAAGAAGAAUGGAUAAAAGCAAUGAAACAGGAGUUGGAAUCCAUUGAAAAGAAUGAUACUUGGAAGUUGACUCACCUUCCUAAAGGUCAAAAAGCAAUAGGUUUGAAGUGGGUCUUUAAAUUAAAGAAAGAUGCUGAAGGAAACGUGACCAAAUACAAAGCCAGAAUAGUCGCCAAGGGAUAUGUACAAAAAAAGGGUAUCGAUUUCGAUGAGGUUUUUGCGCCGGUAGCACGUCUGGAAACAAUACGGGCGCUGUUGGCCUUGGCAGCAAGUGGAGGAUGGAAAGUUCACCAUUUGGACGUGAAAUCGGCAUUUUUAAAUGGGUUCUUACAGGAGGAAGUAUAUGUUACACAACCAACUGGAUUUGUCAUUGAAGGAAAAGAGAACAUGGUGUACAGGUUGAACAAGGCACUCUAUGGUCUCCGUCAGGCUCCGAGAGCUUGGAAUGAUAGACUUGACAAAACUUUGAAAGAGAUGGGAUUCAAGAGAUGUCCACAGGAGUAUGCUGUGUACAAACUCCAUAAGUCAAACCAAGUCUUGAUAGUUGGAGUUUACGUGGAUGAUCUGAUCGUAACAGGAACAAAUGAAGAGCUGGUGAAUGAGUUCAAAAAACGAAUGCUGAAUAUCUUUGACAUGAGUGACUUGGGAAUUCUGUCCUACUACUUGGGGAUAGAAGUUCACCAAAGCAAAGAUGGUAUCACAAUAAGUCAAACAGGGUAUGCUAAGAAGAUUCUUAAAAUAGNNNNNNNNNNNNNNNNNNNNNNNNNNNNNNNNNNNNNNNNNNNNNNNNNNNNNNNNNNNNNNNNNNNNNNNNNNNNNNNNNNNNNNNNNNNNNNNNNNNNNNNNNNNNNNNNNNNNNNNNNNNNNNNNNNNNNNNNNNNNNNNNNNNNNNNNNNNNNNNNNNNNNNNNNNNNNNNNNNNNNNNNNNNNNNNNNNNNNNNNNNNNNNNNNNNNNNNNNNNNNNNNNNNNNNNNNNNNNNNNNNNNNNNNNNNNNNNNNNNNNNNNNNNNNNNNNNNNNNNNNNNNNNNNNNNNNNNNNNNNNNNNNNNNNNNNNNNNNNNNNNNNNNNNNNNNNNNNNNNNNNNNNNNNNNNNNNNNNNNNNNNAUUUAUGGCUGCAGCAGCCACAGCAUGUCAAGCUUUAUGGCUAAGGAGUUUACUAAAAGAGUUGAUUGGCUUGAAAGAAGAAAGUGUCAGGAUGUAUGUAGACAACAAAUCUGCCAUAGCCCUUAUGCAAAAUCCAGUCUUUCACGGAAGGAGCAAGCAUAUUGAUACUAAAUUCCAUUUCAUACGCGGAUGUAUUGAAAGGAAUCAAAUUGAAGUGAAGCACAUUAGUGGUGAAGAACAGAGAGCAAACCCCUUGACAAAAGCCCUGCCUAGACUCAAGUUUAUAGAGAUGAGGCAUCUCUUGGGAGUUGUGAAGCUUGAAGACAAAAAUCAGAAUUAAAGGGGAGCCUGUGGGAUAAGUAAUUCUAACUUGGUCUUUUGUUGACCUUGUCUAAAGGAAUAAGUUGUGUAGCUGCCACCAUUUUAGGAGGACACGUUUUUACAGUUUUUUAGCUUAGCAGUUUUUCCCUUUUGCUUAUUAUUUAAAGCCUUGUAAGUCUCUUGUUUUUGAUAAAGAAAUUGAAUAAGAAGAAAAGCUGAAAUCUUUCCCUGCAACUCUGUUUUUCCUUAUUUGGGCAUACUCUUUUGAUCAGUAACAGGCCCUGCACCAACAAAAACUGACAUCCUCAUUAUACUGACCACUUGUUUUUAAUAUUUCAACCCACAAAAGACCACACCAUUUGGCAUUUCCCUUCCCUGAUGUCCUAAUUUGCUACAUAAAAGCACACUUCUAAAAAAAUAAAAAAUAAAAGAAUCAAUCAAAUAACAAUAAUCUUUUGUAACGAAUUACUAGGCGUACUCUGUUACAUAAUCCUAAAACACUACAGAAUAUAAAGUAGGUCUCAGUUAUGCCAUGUCAUCCAACAAUUUCAAGUUAUCCUACACGAAUGAAAUUGCAUUAAUCAUGUCAUAAAGAAGCAUUAGUUUUGCCAUGAUGUGAUUAAGUACAAUAAAGAAAUCAUUAUCAUGAACUUAAUUCCGAAAAAACAAAAAAAAUUGAGUUUCUUACUCUUUGAUAAAAUCCAGCUGAGCGACCAACCAUAGUAUGCCAAUAUGAUCUGGUUGGACCUUUCAUAAAUGUGUGCCAAAGGAAGAUAAGAUACAUAUAAUUGAAAUAAGCAUGGACAAUAAAUAUUACAACAAAAUAAUGUUGAAACAAUUGGCAAAUACUUAAUUUCAGGACUUCCACUAGAAAAAAAACAUUUACAAUUGGGCUUCCAUGGGAAACUAUAGUCCCCUAACUAGUAAAAUAAUUAAAAUUAUAACGCUAUAACUUAAAAUAUAAUGCUAUGAUUGAUUAAAGUUUCAAAAUGCAAAGCAAUUUCACUGCUUCAUUAGGUAAAAAAUUUAGCAUAUAAUGUCAUCAUAAUAAGCAGCAAAAAAAAAUGAAAGUACGAUGCUAUAAAUGGGUGGAUUAUUAAAAGUAUAAUUUCACAAUAAGAAGACACUUGGAAGUACAAUGGUAUGUAUAAUGGGGUAGAAGUUUCAAAGCAUUAAGAAAAAAGAUGAAAGGCUAUAAUUGGGUAGACAUGUAAAAGUAUCUAUAAUGGCCUACUAAAGAAAAUAGCUAUCUGUGCUAAAAAGAGAUAAGUUCCACUUAGGAAAAGAAAAAAAAUUCUAUUUUGGUAGACUUUAACAGAAAAAAAAAAAAAAAGCACAGGUAAAUUAAGAGAUAGAAACCUCUGUUGUCCACUUGUAUAACAAAUUGUAGCAACAAUCAUCAUCUGGUUUUGGUGGACGAAAAGAAAAGAAAAAGGUGAUGGAUUGGUUGUUACUUCCUUCAACUUCUCUUCAAGAACAACAUUGUACACUUGUUCUACCACUUCCAUAACAAUAAAAUCAGUAACUAUGGUGUGGAAUGUAGAGCAAAACAUUAAGAUGAAAUCUAGAGUUGAUAAAAAAAACAACCAUGAAACAACAAAAAUGUAUGUUGAUUUAGGCAAUUGUCUCUAAAUUUGAAAAAUUGAACAAACUAAUAUCAAAAUCCUAACCUUCAUGAGUGUUCUCCAAAAUAAGGACCAAAUAUGAAAAAAUCAGCUACACUCACUGAACAAAAAUCUUAUAUUACUCUAAAAGGAUUAAUAAUCAUUCUAUAUUAUUACGGAAUCAUUGAUAUUAGAUAACAAAAGUUAUGUAUUAAGUAGUUAUAGUAAAACAAAAUUACCUAUUAAAGUAGUAAGAUAUGAUCUGGUAACAAAGAUUGCAAUACCUGAUAGCAUUUCUUGUACAGAUCAGAGAUGAAAUCCAUACUUUAUUGGCGUAAAGGAAAAAAGUUACUGAAUAGGAAAGCAUUGUAACAGAUAAAUUUAUACCUCAACAUUUAAUUGUCGAACAUCUCAUGCUCAAUUUGAACUUAUGGAGCCUGUAGGAAUGAAGUGUAUAAUUAGUUUCUUGUCUACAAGCUAUGCAUCUAUUAGAUGGACCUCUUCUUUGUAACCUUAUAUUCAAAAGACUGAUUUCAAUUAUAAAUUAAGCAAAUAACAAUGCACUUUCUUACCUUGGCAUCAUAUAUGGUCAUUUAGCUUUUUUUUGACUGCUCCAUUUAUCCUACCAAAUAACCACAAAUUAGUAAUUGAAAUACAUAAAUUAAGAUUCGUUUACGAUCUUCAGAAAUUCAUAUCAUGAUUCAACUUGAUAAACAAACCAACAAACAACAAUAUGUUAAACCUAACACAAUUAGUAAAAUGCAAAUCAAUGAAAGAAAAACAAGAAAAAGCAUUAUUAGGUGCUGAAUUCUUUCAUGAUCUUCAUAAAAAGGCUGACAGAAUCAAACUUGCAAUUUUGUCUCUAAAUCUAAUUGCAAUUUCCUUCACCAUUGUAUUUGUAUCUUUCAAGUUUUACAUUAAAGAUUAGUUUAUUAUAUCUUACCCAUGAAUAUAAUCUUUAAGCACCCUCCAGGUAUGAAGCCAAACCAUGCAUCCUUCUUCUUCAUCAAUUACACAAAAUCUUAGAAAUGUUAACUAUAAAAUUGCAAUUUUGAAUUUGUGUCCCAUUGACAUCAGUCUAAUGCAUGCCAAAAGCAGAAGAGAAGAGAAUAAGGAUUAUUAUAUUUAUACAUAACAUACGUUUGCACUUCAUCUUUGUAGUACACACACAAAUGACACCAACAGGGUAUGAUGGUUGAUCAUCGGAUGUAUAUUUCAUCUUAGGAACAUCCACAUCUGAAACAGGAACAUCAUUCAUUAAUAUUGGUUUAAAUACAAGAAAUACUAAAGUAGUUUCAUUUUUCCUAUUAUAGAAUUGUGCUUGAAAAAAUCUACCCAGUUAUAGCAAUGUCAUAAAGAUACAAAGCAAUUUCCAUUGUAUGAUUGGAUAGAUUUUUCAAAGUAUUAAAAAGAAAAAUUAAAAUUACAACGCUAUAAAUUCAUGGAAUUUUCAUAAUGCAAUGCUGCCCUUAUAAGGAAAAGUGUACAUUACAAUGUUGUAACAUAAAGAAAUGGAAGUACAAUGCUAUAAUGAACAAACUCUAGAAAACUCGCCUCAGAUCAUCCUACUUUCAGUGAUUGCUUAUUAUAUAUACAAUCCUACUUUCAUUUCAUCUUAUUACAACAUUCUACUUUCAAAUCUACCAAGUUUUAGCAAAUCCAUACAAAUAGCUUAAUUAGGUAAACUUUUUUUAGAGCAUAAUGUACUAUUAAGAAAAGAAUAAUCAAAAUAUGAUGCUAUAAACAGGGUCAUAGACUCAAUCAUGAGUUUUAUUUAAAUGCCAAUUUCCUGGAGAUAAUACACAAGCAUGAGUUUUAGGAACAUAGGGGUAUUUCUGGAAACACAAAAAACAGGGUCAUAGACAGAAAGCCAUAAACACCCAACACCCUUAUUUGAGAUUCAAUGGAAAGCUAAAUAAGAACAUAAAAAGCAUCAAGUGUUUUAUAGUUUUAAGGGUAAAAACUUACAUGUUGACACUUUGAUUCUCAGGGGACCUUCUUUUCCUUUUCUCCACCAUAACAUAAGUUCUUUAUUUGGUUUCUAAAACCUUUUCUUGUUGCAGAGUAAUGAAUGGAAUUUGACAAACAAGUUGAAAUUAAGAAAAACAAUCAAUCUCAGAUUAAUGUAUGGAAGUGGUUCAGAAAAUAUUUUUGAAAUGAAUAGAAUUUCUCAAAUGAAUUGGUAUUUGUCAUGUGUAUGAUUGAUGCAAAAGACAUAAAACAUGAGAAUAUAUAACUGGAAUGCAGAAGCAAUUAGACUACCUGUGCAUUAUUAUUAGCCUCUUCUGUUAAUGAAACCAGAUAACAUAACAGGGCUUCUCUCCAAUGUCUUGAGCUGCACAUACCAUAACCUUUUUAUUUUUCAAAGAGACUAUUAAACAAUGAAAAGAGAGCACUUACAUUUGUUAAAUAAUUCUUUAGCUGGAUUUUGUGCUUAAUUCCAUCCUACAUAUAUGCAACAAAAUUAUUGCAUUGGCUUUGAUUGAUGACUAGAAGCCACAAUUUCCAACAUAUGUUUCAUUACCACAUCAAACCUGCCAAGAAAAACAUACCAACUGUGUCAGAAUCAUUGAUAUUAAUAUAAUUUACUAAAGUAUUAUAUGAUCCAAUAACAAAAAUUGCCACCAAAAAGAAAGAGAUGAAAUCCAUACUUUUUUCAAAUAAUCGGUUCGAAUGAAAUAAAGAUAACCAUAAGAUGCUUGUUCAAGCAUAUCACAGCUGAAUGAAGAGGUUCCUACAAAAAAACAGGAAAUUUUUAAACAAUAUUCGCAUAUAUAAUGAUUUUAUACACCAAAUAGACUUGAUUAUCACCCCAUCAGAUAUAUAAAAGUAAACAUCAGCAUCGUUAAGAAGAAGAAGCAGGGGUAAAUGAUUCAUGUUAAAAAGAUCCACAAACUUGUUGAUACUUAGGAUCCAUGGCAGUUGAAGAAACAACAAAAAGGCCUGCACAUUCAUUUGGCUAUUAAACAAGUUACUUAAUAGGAAAGGAAAGCAUUAUAACAUGUGAUGAAUGUUGUGAACAUCUAUAAACAGAUUUGGUUGUGGAAGUGGAACAUCUCAUGUAUUUUAAUUUAAUUGGAAAGGAAACAUAACUUAAUUAAACAGAAACACACAACUUUUAGUUAGAACCAAAGUACACUUCUAUUUCUAAUUGAGUUAGAAACACAAACAAUAAAUUAUCUUUCCCUAAUUGAAUUUCUAAUAAUUCAAUAAGUUGUUUAAUAUUUUAAUUUGGUUUGUGAUUAUUUACUUCUCUCUACAUAAUUUAAUCCGGCAACAUUUUUACCCUCAAAACAAAGCAAAACAACUCUUUAGGUUAAUUAAGACAUUACAUCAAACAACAAAGAAAUACUUUUUUUGGGUUUCAAAAAUAUUCAAAUUUUAGCGACAUCACCACUUGCUUGACCAGUCAUCUUCGUUUGAUGGAUGCUUUCAUGCUUUGGAUUCAAUUUGAUAACAAAAAUUCAAAAAACCAACAAAGAAAAAAAUAGAUGGAGGAGAAAGAGAAAGAAACCCAGAGCGAAAAAAGAUCUGUGUUUUUUUCUUGAUCGAUGAUGACCUUGAACCAAACUGACCGAUGAAUCCAGUAACGAAGAAAAGAGACCUGAAGAAUAUUGGCCUAUUGAAAAUACCUAACAAAAACAAAUAUAAAAUCAAUGAUACAAAAAAAAGGAAUCAAGAACGUUACCUAAGAGACGAAGAGGGAAACGCAGAGGAUUAUUGAACGCGGGAAAAUGAAAAAAUGAGGAAGCGGUGGUGUCGCUAGAAGAAAAAGAGGAGAAGGUUGUGCCUCCAAAUAAAACCCUCUUCUUCUUCUUCUUCUUCUUCAAAGAAACAUGUCUCCGGUGGUGUUUGGAGAACAGUCGGAUGAGUGAAGAAGGUAUAUAUUAAGCGCCAAUACAUCGACCCAACCCUUUCGACUUCCGAAUUCCAACGGUUCUUUUUUAUAAAACCUUUCCAAAAUUACGAUACUAACAAACAAAACUUUUCCAUUUAUCUUAAGCCACAUAACCCCUCCCCUAACUUUUGACUCUUACCAUUUUAAACUAUAAAUUUAUCCUUUAUUGCAAAAUUGGUACCUUACUUUCUCAUUUUACAUUUUAACACAAUUUUUUUUUAUCUAAUUUGGUCCAAACUUUUUUUAGAAAAAUAUCCAAAUAUCUUUUACAACUUUCUUUAUAUAUAUAUAUUUCUUAAAACUUAGCUUUUUUUAGUUAUUUUGUUACAACAAUUAAAUCAUUUUUAUAAAACUAGUUAUUUUACUAAAAAAAUGAUUUGUGUUGUAUGUAUGUUUCUAAAAUUCCUUUAUUAUUAUAAAUUAUAUUUUGUUAAUUCGUUUCUUGUAUUUACAAAAAAAAUAUUAUUUUUACAAAUUCUUAAUAUUUUUUUAUCAAAUCGUUUUAUAAAGUAGUUUUUUUUAAAGUUAUCUUUUACAAAGAUUUAGAUCUUCUCUGAUGCAUGUAUUUUAAGAUUUUUCCUGUAUUUACAAAUAUAUUUUUUCAAAAAUCCACUUCUAUUUUUUUGCAUAUUCAUUUUUAUGCAAUUGUAGUUAUAAAAAUAUGUUAAAAAGUUCUAUCUUUUUAACAUAUUUGUUUAUAAAUAAAUAAAUAAAUAAAUAAACUAAAAGUGCACCAUAAGCAAUGCACUUUCAUGAUAUAACUUAAUGUGUAUAGUAAAUUACAAUUAUGUCUUGUUUGUUGCACAUGUUAAAUUUUCUACAACGUAUAUUAUACAUCAUGCAAUUUCCUUUGUUUUACAAUUUUUGACCAAUUUCUUUUCAAAUUUUUGCAAACCCGGGUUAUUUCCAGUGGCAUCAUCAGAAGGGUUCCGAGUGGACUUGGGAGCCGGAGUCUGAGAUGCGUGAGCAGUACCCUAGUUAUUUCCAGAAGAUGACUUCGAGGGCGAAGUCUGAUUCUAGUGAGGGAGAAUUGUAACAUCCCUAUAUCAGGUGUACCUUAUCAACCCUUGUUCUUUUGGUAAUUGUCAAGUUUGGUCCUUUAUUAAAGAAAAGGUGGUAAGUGAGUACGCGGGGCGUACGCGUGUGUACGCUCAGUGUGCUCAUGUGCGUGUUUUUGACGCGGAAGCCACCUAGUACGUUGCGCGUACCAAAGGGUACCCUGGUCGUACUAGGCCUAGAGUGAAAACCCUAAUUAAGGGUGUGUCUAUAUUUAAAGGACAUGAUGGCCUCAUUUUUGGCCACCACUCCCAUACCUCAACCCUCUCAAACCCUAAUUUCUCGUCCCUUGAGCUUGUGUGUCCAUUUGUGAGCUAUUAAGUGCUCUUGUGGUUUCUUUGGAGUGAAGAAGGAACUUUGAAGAGGAAGGAGUGGGGGUCCAGGCUUUGGAUUUGAGCUUAUAUGUGUUGGAGCUUCAGUUAGAGGUAUAAAGCUCAAAGCUUUCUCAUCCUUUUGAUUUGUGCUUUAUGUGGUCCAUUUUAGGGUUUUUGGUCCCAAAGCUUGAAGCUUUAUGAGUUGUUGAAACUCCAGAGCCUAAUAUUUGUCCCUUAGAGUGUUUUAAUGGAGUGGUUUCAUAAAAAUGGAGUCUUGGACGUCAAAACCACCCCAUGCAUAAGAUAUGAGCAUUCUUGAGAAUAGAAAAGCGAGAGUUUUGGUGUUUGUGACUUUUUCAGCCAUGCAAAGGCUUAAAGUCACAGACUUUAUGGAGUGUGACCCUUUAUGGAGUCCAAAUCUAAGAUUUGAGCUAAGGUCAUAACGAAUUAAGACCAAAUGAGUAGGAAGAGAAAAUACGGGGUGUACGUUGAGCGUAAUCCCAAUACACGCAGCGUAUGGUUGAGAAUCCUCGAUGCAUGCAUGGCGAAGGAGUACGCCCAACGUAGAGGGCUUGUACGCGCGGCGUAUGCGCUACCGUUGACUUUUAGGGUUUGGUCAAUUUAUGGACUAUUACGACCAUGGAAGGGUAAAAUGGUCUUUUAUCCUUUUGUGAGUUUGUAGAAGGGUUUAGUCUAGCUUCUUUGAGAGUCGUUAUUAAUUAGAGAUAAUUAUCGUAUGUGUUAGGCGGAGGAUAAACCGGUGAUUUGAAUUCGAGGUUAUCCGAUUUCUUACGAGGUGAGUCUUCUCACUAUACUUACCUAGAGUGGUAACUUUGUGUAUGACUGAAGGGUCUUAUGUGUUUAUAUUGAGUAUUGUGAUAUCCUGCAUUAUGUCUUUGUGAUUUAUGUUGUGUAUUAUUCUGAGCUAACUGAGUUAGGACUGGAGGGUCCACCCGAGUUGUAGGACCGGAGGGUUCCGUUGAGACACAUUUACCAUAGGGUCUUAUUUGAGUAUAGCCAUGAGAGGCUAAUUGUUCUGAUGCCAUGCAACCCAAAUGGACCAUAUGCCAAAUCGGGUCAAUUACAUACCAAUUAUAGUUAUGGACUUAGACACUAAUCCAACAUCAACAUAUCUUCAAGUUUAGUAUGUGCUAUGUUCCUUUGGUCUUUGGGUAUGUUUACCCUCAAUAAAGGUGGUGUGGAAUUUUUGUUCAUAGUCGGCUCAGGUUUUGGUAGCAUUCAGGAUCACCUUGGAAGUCUUCAUGAGAUGGUUGUGCAUUGGUGGAAUCUAUUCAGUCUCAACCAAGGUAUGGGGUCUUGUUCCAAUCAUUCAUGGGGAUAUCUUCUUUUAGUGAUUGAGUUUUGUCGUUUGAUAGAACUUCGGUAUUUCUCUCCUUUUUUGGAUAAUGUUAUGGGGUAAUUCAUUAUAUGUAUUUCCUAGAGGGGUGUAUGCUACUGGACAAAAUAGAAUUGGAGCACUUGGUUCGAAUUAUAUGCAUGGUUCUUUUGAGGUUAUGGCCUUUGAAUUGGAUCAAGAAUAUGUCCAUUUAUCCUAUUAUCGGGUCGUGUGUGGCCAUGAUUUCGUCAUAUUUUGCGUUGAUAGCAGCGUGUUUUGUGAAAGGAAUUGUGUGUGGUUAGACCAUGGCGGGAUAAACGUGUUGUAAGACUGUGGGGUGUGUAACAUCCCGAGUUCAGGAGUGCAAGUUCAGGGUUCAAAGUGAAAUUGUGAAUGGUCAACUCGACGAGUUCAUGGGUGGACUCGGCGAGUAGGGUUGCAAUUCUGGUCGCGUGUUAAGUGGCCAACUCGGCGAGUUGGUGCUGUAUGGAGAAAGCCCUAAUCUCGGGAGUUGUGCCCUAUAUAAAGAACAUAACACCUCUUCCCCAGCCUCUCUACCUUCCCUUUGAGUUCCAGAAACCCUAGAUUCGCGUGAUCGAGCUUUCCUUGGUAAGAGAUUAGAGCCUUGGAGGAAGGAAUCUUGGAAGGAAAUUGAAGAGCAAGAAGAUUGGAGCAAGGGGCUUUGCAUGGAUUUGGUUCAUUCUUCAGUUGGACCUUUCUCUUGAGGUAAUAAUCUAUUGCUUAAGCUCCUUAAUCCUUUGUUGCUUGAAUUUUUGGGGCAUUUCUAGAGUUAUUUCGGGUUUGGGGGUUGGAUCUGAGGUUGCUACCUCAGAUCUGGACUUGAGAUGGUCCAGAAGAUCAUAAAGUCCCUGUUCUUGAGUUGUGGGUGAAGCUUUCUUGUCCCAAACCCUAGCCUAAGAGUGUGUAUGGCUUAGAUCUCUUUGGAUUCACGUAAAGUUUGCCACUUUAUGUGAUGGGUGGCUUGUAGGAGANNNNNNNNNNNNNNNNNNNNNNNNNNNNNNNNNNNNNNNNNNNNNNNNNNNNNNNNNNNNNNNNNNNNNNNNNNNNNNNNNNNNNNNNNNNNNNNNNNNNNNNNNNNNNNNNNNNNNNNNNNNNNNNNNNNNNNNNNNNNNNNNNNNNNNNNNNNNNNNNNNNNNNNNNNNNNNNNNNNNNNNNNNNNNNNNNNNNNNNNNNNNNNNNNNNNNNNNNNNNNNNNNNNNNNNNNNNNNNNNNNNNNNNNNNNNNNNNNNNNNNNNNNNNNNNNNNNNNNNNNNNNNNNNNNNNNNNNNNNNNNNNNNNNNNNNNNNNNNNNNNNNNNNNNNNNNNNNNNNNNNNNNNNNNNNNNNNNNNNNNNNNNNNNNNNNNNNNNNNNNNNNNNNNNNNNNNNNNNNNNNNNNNNNNNNNNNNNNNNNNNNNNNNNNNNNNNNNNNNNNNNNNNNNNNNNNNNNNNNNNNNNNNNNNNNNNNNNNNNNNNNNNNNNNNNNNNNNNNNNNNNNNNNNNNNNNNNNNNNNNNNNNNNNNNNNNNNNNNNNNNNNNNNNNNNNNNNNNNNNNNNNNNNNNNNNNNNNNNNNNNNNNNNNNNNNNNNNNNNNNNNNNNNNNNNNNNNNNNNNNNNNNCGAGUUGAGUCGCGGAUUGGGAGUUCUGAGUAUAGGGACUCGACGAGUCAGCGGGUUGACUCGGCGAGUAGAGUCAGACAGGAAGGUUAACUUUGUCUGAGGACUUUGACUUUGACCAAUGGUUGACCGGUUGACUUCCAGGGGUAUUUUGGUAAUUAUUGGUAUUUAUUGAGUUAAGCCUUUUGGUAUUGAUCAGUGGUGGAGUUCGUGUCGGAAGUUAGAGCAGCAUGAUCUUAUCUGUUUAGUCAGCAGUUGCGAGGUGAGUUAUCCUCACUAUAUCGACAGGGUCUACGGCACCAAGGCCGACCCUUUAUCGGAUUGUAAUCCGGGUAUCAUUGUUAUGUUAUUGCUUUGCUAUUUUGCAUCCUGGUAGUUAGGAUGGUAUAUGUUAGAGACCUGGUUAAGGUCGGUGUCCUGGUAUNUAUAUAGGAUGAUGCUAUGCUAGUGACCGGUUAGGUCGGUAUCCUGGUUAGGAUGAUGUUAUGCUAUGUGAUAUGUUAGAUCAGUUUGAUUGGAUGUGAUUUGUUAUAUGAUUGAAUGUUUAUGUGCACAUGGUUGUUGGACUGGGGUUGGGUUGAGGCGGGACCUGCUUUGUGCUGUAGGCCAACACACCCAGGGCGGACUGGUUAUCCCGAAGGCCCAACGAGCGUUCCGGAUAGGUUGUAGGCCCUAAAAGGGCGGACCAGACGUGCCGAGGCUCGGAGAGUGGACCAGGCCGNAAUAAAUAAAUAAAUAAACUAAAAGUGCACCAUAAGCAAUGCACUUUCAUGAUAUAACUUAAUGUGUAUAGUAAAUUACAAUUAUGUCUUGUUUGUUGCACAUGUUAAAUUUUCUACAACGUAUAUUAUACAUCAUGCAAUUUCCUUUGUUUUACAAUUUUUGACCAAUUUCUUUUCAAAUUUUUGCAAACCCGGGUUAUUUCCAGUGGCAUCAUCAGAAGGGUUCCGAGUGGACUUGGGAGCCGGAGUCUGAGAUGCGUGAGCAGUACCCUAGUUAUUUCCAGAAGAUGACUUCGAGGGCGAAGUCUGAUUCUAGUGAGGGAGAAUUGUAACAUCCCUAUAUCAGGUGUACCUCAUCAACCCUUGUUCUUUUGGUAAUUGUCAAGUUUGGUCCUUUAUUAAAGAAAAGGUGGUAAGUGAGUACACGGGGCGUACGCGUGUGUACGCUCAGUGUGCUCAUGUGCGUGUUUUUGACGCGGAAGCCACCUAGUACGUUGGGCGUACCAAAGGGUACCCUGGUCGUACUAGGCCUAGAGUGAAAACCCUAAUUAAGGGUGUGUCUAUAUUUAAAGGACAUGAUGGCCUCAUUUUUGGCCACCACUCCCAUACCUCAACCCUCUCAAACCCUAAUUUCUCGUCCCUUGAGCUUGUGUGUCCAUUUGUGAGCUAUUAAGUGCUCUUGUGGUUUCUUUGGAGUGAAGAAGGAACUUUGAAGAGGAAGGAGUGGGGGUCCAGGCUUUGGAUUUGAGCUUAUAUGUGUUGGAGCUUCAGUUAGAGGUAUAAAGCUCAAAGCUUUCUCAUCCUUUUGAUUUGUGCUUUAUGUGGUCCAUUUUAGGGUUUUUGGUCCCAAAGCUUGAAGCUUUAUGAGUUGUUGAAACUCCAGAGCCUAAUAUUUGUCCCUUAGAGUGUUUUAAUGGAGUGGUUUCAUAAAAAUGGAGUCUUGGACGUCAAAACCACCCCAUGCAUAAGAUAUGAGCAUUCUUGAGAAUAGAAAAGCGAGAGUUUUGGUGUUUGUGACUUUUUCAGCCAUGCAAAGGCUUAAAGUCACAGACUUUAUGGAGUGUGACCCUUUAUGGAGUCCAGAUCUAAGAUUUGAGCUAAGGUCAUAACGAAUUAAGACCAAAUGAGUAGGAAGAGAAAAUACGGGGUGUACGUUGAGCGUAAUCCCAAUACACGCAGCGUAUGGUUGAGAAUCCUCGAUGCAUGCAUGGCGAAGGAGUACGCCCAACGUAGAGGGCUUGUACGCGCGGCGUAUGCGCUACCGUUGACUUUUAGGGUUUGGUCAAUUUAUGGACUAUUACGACCAUGGAAGGGUAAAAUGGUCUUUUAUCCUUUUGUGAGUUUGUAGAAGGGUUUAGUCUAGCUUCUUUGAGAGUCGUUAUUAAUUAGAGAUAAUUAUCGUAUGUGUUAGGCGGAGGAUAAACCGGUGAUUUGAAUUCGAGGUUAUCCGAUUUCUUACGAGGUGAGUCUUCUCACUAUACUUACCUAGAGUGGUAACUUUGUGUAUGACUGAAGGGUCUUAUGUGUUUAUAUUGAGUAUUGUGAUAUCCUGCAUUAUGUCUUUGUGAUUUAUGUUGUGUAUUAUUCUGAGCUAACUGAGUUAGGACUGGAGGGUCCACCCGAGUUGUAGGACCGGAGGGUUCCGUUGAGACACAUUUACCAUAGGGUCUUAUUUGAGUAUAGCCAUGAGAGGCUAAUUGUUCUGAUGCCAUGCAACCCAAAUGGACCAUAUGCCAAAUCGGGUCAAUUACAUACCAAUUAUAGUUAUGGACUUAGACACUAAUCCAACAUCAACAUAUCUUCAAGUUUAGUAUGUGCUAUGUUCCUUUGGUUUUGGGUAUGNCAAUAAAGGUGGUGUGGAAUUUUUGUUCAUAGUCGGCUCAGGUUUUGGUAGCAUUCAGGAUCACCUUGGAAGUCUUCAUGAGAUGGUUGUGCAUUGGUGGAAUCUAUUCAGUUUCAACCAAAGUAUGGGGUCUUGUUCCAAUCAUUCAUGGGGAUAUCUUCUUUUAGUGAUUGAGUUUUGUCGUUUGAUAGAACUUCGGUAUUUCUCUCCUUUUUUGGAUAAUGUUAUGGGGUAAUUCAUUAUAUGUAUUUCCUAGAGGGGUGUAUGCUACUGGACAAAAUAGAAUUGGAGCACUUGGUUCGAAUUAUAUGCAUGGUUCUUUUGAGGUUAUGGCCUUUGAAUUGGAUCAAGAAUAUGUCCGUUUAUCCUAUUAUCGGGUCGUGUGUGGCCAUGAUUUCAUCAUAUUUUGCGUUGAUAGCAGCGUGUUUUGUGAAAGGAAUUGUGUGUGGUUAGACCAUGGGCAGUGACCAUGGCGGGAUAAACGUGUUGUAAGACUGUGGGGUGUAUAACAUCCCGAGUUAGGAGUACAAGUUCAGGGUUCAAAGUGAAAUUGUGAAUGGUCAACUCGACGAGUUCAUGGGUGGACUCGGCGAGUAGGGUCGCGAUUCUGGUCGCGUGUUAAGUGGCCAACUCGGCGAGUGAGUGCUGUAUGGAGAAAGCCCUAAUCUCGGGAGUUGUGCCCUAUAUAAAGAGCAUAACACCUCUUCCCCAACCUCUCUACCUUCCCUUUGAGUUCCUAAAACCCUAGAUUCGUGUGAUCGAGCUUUCCUUGGUAAGAGAUUAGAGCCUUGGAGGAAGGAAUCUUGGAAGGAAAUUGAAGAGCAAGAAGAUUGGAGCAAGGGGCUUUGCAAGGAUUUGGUUCGUUCUUCAGGUGGACCUUUCUCUUGAGGUAAUAAUCUAUUGCUUAAGCUCCUUAAUCCUUUGUUGCUUGAAUUUUUGGGGCAUUUCUAGAGUUAUUUCGGGUUUGGGGGUUGGAUCUGAGGUUGCUACCUCAGAUCUGGACUUGAGAUGGUCCAGAAGAUCAUAAAGUCCCUGUUCUUGAGUUGUGGGUGAAGCUUUCUUGUCCCAAACCUAGCCUAAGAGUGGGUAUGGCUUAGAUCUCUUUGGAUUCACGUAAAGUUUGCCACUUUACAUGAUGGGUGGCUUGUAGGAGAGUAGAUCUAUGGAUUGGAGCCCCUGCAUGGCUUGGAAAGCCACUGUAUGGAUUAAGAACUAGAGAUACUCGUCGAGUCACGUGGGUGAACUCGGCGAGUUGGAUGAAGAUGGGCAGGAACUCGACGAGUUGGAAGAACAACUCGGCGAGUAGGUUGAAUGUUUCCUUGGACUCAGCGAGUCUGUUCUUGGACUCGGCGAGUUUGGUCGUGGAGUCCUAACCUUUUUGGGUUGAGCUGUGAAUCGGUGAGUCGAGGGACGACUCGAUGAGUUGAGUGGGAAAGGACUUAGAGUUUGUUGGACUCGACGAGUCUUGGGGCGACUCGGCGAGUUGAGUCGCGAAUUGGGAGUUCUGAGUAUAGGGACUCGACGAGUCAGCGGGUUGACUCNNNNNNNNNNNNNNNNNNNNNNNNNNNNNNNNNNNNNNNNNNNNNNNNNNNNNNNNNNNNNNNNNNNNNNNNNNNNNNNNNNNNNNNNNNNNNNNNNNNNNNNNNNNNNNNNNNNNNNNNNNNNNNNNNNNNNNNNNNNNNNNNNNNNNNNNNNNNNNNNNNNNNNNNNNNNNNNNNNNNNNNNNNNNNNNNNNNNNNNNNNNNNNNNNNNNNNNNNNNNNNNNNNNNNNNNNNNNNNNNNNNNNNNNNNNNNNNNNNNNNNNNNNNNNNNNNNNNNNNNNNNNNNNNNNNNNNNNNNNNNNNNNNNNNNNNNNNNNNNNNNNNNNNNNNNNNNNNNNNNNNNNNNNNNNNNNNNNNNNNNNNNNNNNNNNNNNNNNNNNNNNNNNNNNNNNNNNNNNNNNNNNNNNNNNNNNNNNNNNNNNNNNNNNNNNNNNNNNNNNNNNNNNNNNNNNNNNNNNNNNNNNNNNNNNNNNNNNNNNNNNNNNNNNNNNNNNNNNNNNNNNNNNNNNNNNNNNNNNNNNNNNNNNNNNNNNNNNNNNNNNNNNNNNNNNNNNNNNNNNNNNNNNNNNNNNNNNNNNNNNNNNNNNNNNNNNNNNNNNNNNNNNNNNNNNNNNNNNNNNNNNNNNNNNNNNNNNNNNNNNNNNNNNNNNNNNNNNNNNNNNNNNNNNNNNNNNNNNNNNNNNNNNNNNNNNNNNNNNNNNNNNNNNNNNNNNNNNNNNNNNNNNNNNNNNNNNNNNNNNNNNNNNNNNNNNNNNNNNUGUGGAUAGACUCGGAGGGUGGACCAGGUGGACUGUAGGCCGGUGAGGCGGACCAGUCACACAGUAGACCCGAAGUGCAUGGUUGUUCUGUAUCGAUUCUAUGAUAUGGUUAUGUUUUUAUGGCAUUGGUAUUUGGGGGUAUCUCACUAAGCUUUUGGGCUUACAGUUGNGUUUAAAUGUAUCAGGUACUUCAGGAGACUGUGGCACGGCAAAUGCAUGAUCGUACCGCUCCUCGAGUUUUUAUGUGAUUACGAUGUGGUUUUUGGGAAAUACUCUGAUAAUAAAUGUAUUGAAAACCUUUUUGUAAUAACUUUAUGAAAUUGGGUUGUUUUUGAAAAGUUUAAAUUGGUUGGAAUUUUUAGAGUGUUACAAGGUGGCCAUAGCAUUCACUGGAUUAACGGAUAGUAUGGAAGCGUUGUAAGUCUGCAAUGGGAACGUAGCAUUCACCAGAUUGAGGUAGACCAUCGUUGGGGUUGUCGUAAGUAUAAAGCAGGAUCAGCUCGUGCCUUGGGCAAGGCGGACAGUGGGGUCGGAGAGCAUAUCUUUGUUAUGGGAAUAGGACCAUUAGGGUCCGAGACGGGUUGGGCUUGUGUAGCUUUCGUUGGGUGAGACCCGUGGGUAAUGCCCGUAUGAUUAUGGAAAUGCAAGUGAGACCUGGUAGAGAUCGAUUAAGUCGAUGAAUUGGAUUAUGGUUUUAGUAGGAUGAUUAUGUGGCUAGGGAGUGGCAUAGAGUGGUGCACAUGCUAUAAUAGCCUUAUCUGUUGGACUCUCAUGAACCUGGUGGCUAGACCAGGUGCGAGACUGGCAGUCUCAGCGGUGGUUUAGGGAUUUUAUAUCCCGCUUUAGGGAAUGGUUGUCGUGAAUCAUAAGAGUUCGGGUGAAACGCAAGUGUAAAUCCUUGGAUCUCAGGUUAUGGGUUAUGUACCGAGUUGGCUAUUGGUUGAGAUUCACAUCGGGAAUCGUUAGUGUAUAAGUGCAAAAUAUGUAUCUCAACAAGUUAUGGAUUUAGGAAUCUGUAUGUCGGGUUAUCAAUUGGAAGGUUCAGGGUUAAAAGGAUGUUUCAGUUAUGAUGGUAGGAGGAUACCCUUAUGAUUGUGUUUCAGAAUGAUUCUACCUGUGCGGAGGUCAGGCGAGUUAUAAGGCUUCGAAAUGUCUCCACUCAUGGCUCCAUCAAUCCUUCUGUUACAUCCGAUCAUAACAUCCUGACAACUUGUCGCCAUCGAAUCAGAUACGUAAAGUGAACACUACCAAAAUAUUGUAGUCUUACCUCAUGUCCGAUCUCUAGCGACCUAAGUAGUUAAUAUCGGCGAUUUCCAGGUGAUUUCCAGGUGGGAUAUCGGUUAUCGGUACUUUUCAAAAUAGCGGUGUCAAAUAUCGGUCCAAAUUAUCGGACUGCAAAUAUCGGUGAUAUUUAUCGAUAUUUAACCGAUAUUUACCGAUAUUUCCAGGCGAUUUCCAGAUGGGAUAUCGGUUAAGUAAUUUUACGUGCUAUUUUUUAGUGUUAAGUCAUGGUCUUAAGUCUUAUGGACUUAACUUAACUGAACCUGUUAUUAUGUUAAGUACUUAAUUGUUAGUCUUAGGUCAUAGACUCAUGUUUUAAGUAUUAACCGAUCUUAUUGUUAUGUUAAUUGUUACAUACUUAAGUGUUAACUUACUAGUUUCUAUAGGUUUGAUCAUGUUGAUGUGUUAAAUACAUAAUUCUUAAAUGAUGAUGAUGAUGAUACUAGAGUUGAUGUUGAUGAUCUAGAUAAAAUAAUUGGAUGCCUUGGUUUAUGUGGACUUGGAGGAAGAUUCCAUGGCUUACGUAAGAUUAUGUUUCGAACAUUGACAAUUUUGAAUUUUGAAUUUUUAUAUUACUUUUAUAUAUGUUUUAUGUUUAUAUAUAUUAAUUAAGCAUGAUAUAAAAAACACCGAUAUCCCACCGCGAUAACCUAUAUCCCAAAUAUCGUCCCUUGACCGAUAUUUGAUUUUGGACCGCUAUAACUGCCUAGCUAGCGACCUACCGUUUCCUGAUUCCAAUCAUGUUGUGGUCUACCCUCUAUCUUGCGAACUUGAUUACCCUGACCUAAUCAUCUGAAAGAAUCUGUGAAUGCUACGAAUCAUUCCGCAGUCUCACAACACUUCCCACACCAUCAGCCCACUAGUGAAUGCUACAACUACCCCCGCAGUCUUACAACACUUCCCACACUAUCUGAUCGCUUGUGAAUGCUACGGCUACCCCUGCAGUCUUACAACACUUUCGCUUUAACACAACCGCAGCCCGAUGCCUUACCCUCAAUCUAUCAAUCCAAUUACCCUCAGAGUCUAACACACACACCACCGAACACCCGAAUUGAAUUCAAUUCAUGACUGGAACCCCAAACUGAUUCCCCAAAUUCUGCUAUCAAGUACCAAGAAGACGUAUUUCUCAUGCUGGGGAGUUUUACCGAACCCCCAACUCACACAACCCUCAAACCAAACAGCCACUUAGACCGCCUUCCUCCCUAGCGGAAAUGCGAAACUUAUCCCAAUUCCAAAACCGCUCCUGCUUCUGAAUCCCGAGAUAAUUCUCCCCCACUUAGAUCCGACUAAGUCUUCACAAUACAUGAAAGUGGGAGAAUUCCCAAUCGUUCUCACUUUCCAACGAUCGAUCCGAUGAUAACCAACUCUUUCCAACUAGUGCUCCAUUACCAUCCAAUCCCAAAUGAUCACACGCUUCUAACAACUAGAUGAACACUUCUUGAAUCUCAGUGAAACCGACAAUCCCUAAUGCUUGAAUGAUCCCACACUCAAAUCUUGAAGGCCAAAAGAUAGAUGCUCCAACUAAUACCUCAACAAUGAGUUACUUCCCUUGGCGCUUUCAUCUACCAAUCAAUAACGGUUAUGAAAAAUCACUGAAUCCUAAAAAUGUUGAAUAAUCAUCCUGUAGGACCCUGUCCGCAGACCUCCCACAUCAUACCCAUCUUCCCAUAGUGCUCCAAACAAACCUCCCGCUCUCGGGCUCUAGAAAUCAUGUCAUUCAGGGUCUCUCACCCUGACUCACUCACUAGCUCAGUCGUCCACAGCUGAACUACGGUAGCUGAAGUAACCUCUACCCUAAACCGGGCUACCAACUACUCCCAAGACAUAGUCUCUAAUCCCAAAAGCGCAAUAGAUCGCACAAUCAAUCCUUACCGCCCGAUACAAGAGAUCCAAGGCAAAUCGGAUCUUAGAUCCUAUGGGUAAGGACGGUAAUCACGUACACCUCACAAGAUACUCAUGCCACAUCGACCCACCCGAGCUCACCAGCGCUGAAAUACUGUCGCCAACCCCUGCGACCAACUGACCCUGAGCUGGAAUACAACCUAAUCCUGGGUCACAAGCUUGCUCACUCCUUCGAGCUAUAAAAAAAGGUACAAUACUUGCCCUAGAAAACGACAUUCCAAUCCAUCAAUUAACCAUUCUACUUCCAGCUACAAAGCUCCAUUUGAUCAUAAUCAUCACUCCCUUCCGGAAUCCCCGCGACUCGAAUCCCGGCCUCGAACAAAACCCCUAAAGCCUCAAAUCCAAAAACUCCCGCACCACCCUCUUCCGCUCAUCCCGCGGAAUGUAACGAGUACGGAGCAUCUCCCUGAUCUCAAGUAACUGCAGCUCUCUGAUCAUCAGAAUAUAUUCUAAGUCAUCAUCUGACUCUAGGAAGAAUCCCUGUUUAAACAAGAAGAAUAUUGUUCAUAUGAAGAUUAAGGGUAAGAAGGCUCUUGAAAAAGAAACUAUGGCUAAACAAAGCCCUAAGUUCCUUGAGAAAUCAUAUAAGAAAGUGUCACAAAAAGUAGGUAGUUUAGCUACUAGGAAUCACAAUUCAUUCAUGCCAGUUAAAAUAUUUAAGAGCCCAUCUAUUCUUGUUAGCUCGGAUAUUCCUACUUCCACAAAGAAACAUUCUGCAAAUAUGUUAAUAUUGAGUCAUCACCAAAAAAUAGUAACUAUCUUCGAAAAGUGUCAUCUCCAGUAUUUACUGCCACCUCGAAUGGAAAAAAAUUUAAGCAAAAACAAUCUCCAAAUGUGCCUACAAGAGAUAUGAAUAAGGGAAAAGAUACUCAUAACUUUUAUGUUUGGAACCCCUUAAAAGGUCCAAAUAUGAAAUAUGAAUGGAAGGCUAAAGAGAAUGGAAAUUUAACCGAACAAUCUGUCAUUCUGCAUACUCAAAAUCAUAAAUGAUCUGGUACAAUUUCAUGCCAUUCUGUAAUCAAGAUCAUGAAUUUAGAGUUCAGACCACUAAACCUUUCAAUUUGAUUUCUUACAGCUUUGUUUCUAUGCCAUGAUUAUGUUGCUUAACAUUGUUUCUUUUCCCGUGAAAUCUAUAGACGAAUUUGGUUUCUAAUGAAAUUGCCACUCUUCUAAUGAUAAGAACAUUGUUAUGGACCCUUUGAAUAUAGAGCAAAAUUUUGUACAUCAUGAUGUUCCCCAUUAACUUUACUUAAAACGAGCACAUACAAUGUUAUCAAUCUUUUGAGUGAAAUGACAGAAAAUGUCUAUUAAUCGAGUUAACUACAACAUUUUACAUUUUUUUUCUUAUUCGAAAUCUUGUGUUGACUAAUCUUAAAAGUUCAUACUUUGUUAGGCCAAGCAAUGUCAUAAAUUUUUCACCGGAUGUAUGUUGAGGUGGCUCCUUUAUCGUUGGUAAACACCUGGCCGCAACAAGAUUUUUACCGUCGGGUUUCUACCGGUGGCAAACGUGAGGCAAAUGAUGGUAUUUGUCUUUCUCUCUCUACCCACUUUUUUUUUACCCAUGGUUAAUCCUUGUAGUUUCUCAAAGUUUGCUGCCAUUAAUUACACAUUGAUGUUUGACUUUAACUGCUACAAUAUAGAAUGUUGUUGCUUUUUCUAAAGUUGUCAAAGUUUGUUGUCAUUUAUGGAGGUUUAGUGUUUGGAUGCCUCCUGCUCUUAAUUCAUAUAGAUAUCUCAACAUUCAUUGGCUUCUGAAACAUAGUAGACCUAUUCAAGACUCAAACCCUAUACUGAAGUAAAGGAGCAAAGCACAAAAGUUUGUGGGCUAAAUUUUGACCUUCAGUGUCAAAUUUAACUUUGAAAUCCUUUAAAAAUACUACAAGAACUAAUCAAACAGGAAUGUGAGAGAUAUUAUAGACACAAUUCAAACAAGUUAAGAACCUCAAGUUUCGCUGAUAAAGAUUCAAUUUCAUAAACUAUCAUCUUAGCCAUCUCUUCAUCUAUGUCAACAUUUUUUUUGACAAAACUGACAAAAACAAGGUAACCACUUGUCAAACAGAUUCAAGGAAACCAUAAACAGCUACAACCUAGUAGUUCAAAGCAUGUAUGUGAAUCUUGUUGUUCAUGAUUAACAACAAUUGCAAUAAAUAGCAAACUACUUACAUUUAUUUGUUUACCAUAGCAUCCUACAUACAAGUCAUGAUUAUUAAACUUUCAACAAGCCAUUAACAUAAACCAUCAAUAAUGAUUAACAUUCUCAACAAACAUCUCUUUUUCUCUAGUCCUCUUGUUCCAAGUUCAUUGUAUGGAUGCUGCAAGAUCACUCCCACUACAUACACUAACAAAACUAACCCAUGAAUGUACAUAUGAACAUAACUUUUCAUGCAAAUCAAUUGUAAAAACCAAAAGUAAACGAGUUUUUGUACCAUAAUUCAAGAUGUUAAAUGUUUUUAGAAGCAAUGAAGUAUGUAAAACCCAUGGAAGUGUUGUGUAAGCUAAAAAUCAAUGGAAAAAUAGGUACUUUUAAAAUUUGAACUUUUCUAAAAGGGAAAUAAUGUAACUUUCAUGAAAAGUGUUGUAGUAUUUAAACAUCUUAUACUUUUUUUUGCUUGUUGAGCAACUCAUCAAGUUCAGGGAGAGCAAGGAACAAGAAUGAAAGAAAACAAAGAGUCAAUUUUGAUGAGUUGAUAGGAUGCUCGAUAUAUUGUAUUUCUUCAUCUACUCAAUCUCCUUCAUCUUAACCAAACCAAAGUCGAUCAAAACCCAAAAACUAAAUACUCUGCAACAUGAAAUUGCAAUAAAUAUAAUAUGUGGGUCAGGGUGAUAAAAGUUGGAGGGCAAAAUAGACAUUUACCUAUCAAAAUGGUCAUUUUCAUAAAUUUAACAUGAAAAUGAAAGAGAUGAAGAAGACAUUGGCAAGAUGGUCAUUUUCAUAAAUUUAACAUCUAGGUGACGACCUAGGUACCAAGAGCGUUAUGAAACCAUAAAAUAAGAACCAAAAUUGCAAUGUCUAAGUAUGUUAAAUUUUCAUAGGGCAUUGUUAACCAAAAAAAAAAAUUCAAAAGUACAACGUUCAUAUAUUUUGAAUAUAAAAUGCUAUAAAUGUUAGCCAAAAUGAAACAAGUUCAGAUUUUCAAAAUACAAGUCUUACUAGGUUAGUUUUUGAAAAUGCAAUUUCUUAAUAGAAAAACAGUUGAAAGUACAAUACAAUGUUGGAUUUAGAAAAUACAAUAACUUGAAGGAAAAAUAGUUGUCAAAAAAAUUGAACUAUAAUGCUGUAAUUGGCAACCAAGUUCAAACAAGUUUGAUGUUUUAACGGGAAAAUGUCUUGAUAGGUUAGAUUUUUAAAAUGAAAUGUCGUAAUAAGAAAAAGUAAAAAGUAAAAAGUCUUCACAGGUUAAUAUGAAAUUUAUAAAACUAUAAUGGGCAACCAAAAACAAACAUGUUUAGUUUUUUCAAGUAUAGUGACUUGAUAGGAAAAUAAUAAAAUUACAAUGUCUUAAAAGGUUUUAUUAUCAAAGUAUAAUGCUUUAAUAGAAGGCUUUAUAUCUUCGCAUCUAAAUAGCAUUCAAUUACAAUAUAAAAACUCAUGAGGAAAUAUGGAAAGGAUUUUAUAUUCUUUCUCAUAAAAUUGCAACUUGUGUCCUAUUGACAUCAGUCUCAAUCUAAAUUCUAAUGCAUUCCAAAAUCAAAAGAGACGAGAGAAAGGAUUAUUAUACGUUUAGACUACAUACUGUUGAUAAAUAACCUGAAGGUGAAAUCCAUAAAUGAAGCGUGUUUUUCAUUUCUGCCAAUAUUUUAAGUUACUCUGUAUCGUAUGCAAUUAUGAAAUUCAAAUAUUUAUAUUCAAUGCUUUUUACAUCAUAACAAAAAUGAUAAUUAAGGAGUGAAAAAACCUCUCUGAUGAUCCAUCGUGGACCAAAAAAAAAAAACAUCCACAAACAUGUUGAUACCUAGGAUCUGCAUGUCAAUUGAAGAAACAACAAAAAGGCCUGCACAUUCAUUAUAAUCAAAGACUUACAUGUAACUAACAGGAUGAUCAAAGGCUUCAUGUGUGCAAGUUCAAGUUCUUAAUUGGAAAAACCCUAAACCCUAAACUAAAAGUUCAAGUUCUUUAUUGGAUAAAUACACAUACACAUAUGGUUUGAAAAGGAUACACACCAUGUUGAUACAAAAUCAGGUUGAUAAGUUGCAUGGGAAAGUAAAUAAAUACUGUUAAACUCUUACAACUGUGUGCAACUUUCAUGCAGUAUAAGUGUAUAACUAGGUGAAAAACUUACAGUUGAGAUGGGUAUAGUUUCUAUAGGUGAAAAGCUCCUUUGUCACCUACUUAAAAGAAAAAUAAACAUUUCUCAGAAAAACCUAGUAACAUUACAUUGCUAAAUUGGCUAGUAAACAAGUCACUUAACCACACACCUAAUAGAACGUGAAUAAGCCUUAAUGAUUGAAAAAUACAAUAAAUUUAUCAUACCCAACAUAUCAUAUACUCUGUUACAUAAUCGUGGAGCAUAUUAGGUCUCAAAUCCACCAUCAUCUCAUCCACCAAUUUCAAGUUGUUCUACAUGAAUGAAAAUGCAUUGCCUAUUAAGUUAAAAAGAAACAGCAGUUUUGUAUGCAUGAUGUGAUUAGGUACAAUAAGGAAAUCAUUAUCAUGAACUUAAUUCAGACAGAAGAUGAAAUUUGAUAAAAUCCAACUAAGCCACCAUAGUACACCAAUAUCAUCUGGUUGGACCUUUCAUAUAUGUGUGAAUUUGAUGGAUACAACUUAAUUUCAAGACUUCCACCAGCAACAUUUGCAGUCAGGUUUCUAUCCCCUAACCAUGUAGGAAAAGGAAUAAGUUCCACUUAAGGUAAGAAAAGAUUAAACUUUGGUAGACUUGAAAAGAGAAGGAAAAAAAUACACAUUUGGUAUCCACUUGUAUACCAUAUUGUAGCAACAUCAUCUUGUUUUGGUGAGCUAAAAGAAAAGGGUAAUGGUUGUUACUUCCCUAAAAAGCACCAAUUCAUAUAGCAAAUAAAUCAGUAAUCAAAGAAUGGGUAGAAAUCAUGAAAGAUUAAAAACUCAAAUCAAAGAAACUCAUGUUAUUGGAGAUAGAUGCUUAAGUCUGUUAUUACGAUAACAAGAUAGACUUAGCAAAAAGUUCUAAAAUGUGAUUCAACAAAAGGAUUUGAAGUUACCUGAAUAAUAAGCUUAGAAAAUGAUACAACCUUUAACCCCAGUUGUUGAUGAGUUCUUGAAGGUUGUAGCUUCAUUUCAAUAAAGAAUCUUAUCAGUGCAACCAAUAAGAAAUGAACCAAAUGAUCAACUAUCAAAACAACAGAAGUUAUCAAUUAAGUGAGUUCAUAACAAAUCAAGAACAAAUGAAGAACAUGAUAGAUAUAGUGAUUCGAGAUGCAAUGGUCUCACAAAAGAAGAAGAAACUUCUAAAAUAUUUUGCCUGCCUUUCUAACAAACGCCCUCCCAUAAAAUAUAACCUAAAAUGACAGAGGAUCUGCCUUAAUUCCCAAAAUGCCCCUGCUGUCCCACUAACUUUGUAGUGCCCUCGUGGUUGUCUGUGGUUCCCUCUCCCAUUGGAACCUUUUGUCUCUGAUAGGUAAAUUGCAAGGGUGAAUGCACAAUAGUUUUCAGUGACAAAAAGAUGAGCAACUGAAAUGUCAACGUGAUUAAUUAGCAACUAAUAAAAAAUUUAACCAUUGUGCAACCAAUAAGAAAUGAAGCAAAUGAUUAACCAUCAUACCACUAUCAAAAUAUGUCAAGGUGUCAUAUUCAAUCAAUGUAAUGUUUGAUGAUGACUAGCUGUAAAAGUAAACAUUCCAUUUUCAUGUCUUCAAUUUCUUUGGAAGAUCGACAUUCAACAAAAUCAGUAACUAUGGUGUGAAAUGUAGAGCAAAUAAAAGAGGGUUUACAUUAAGCACGUGUAUAUGAAUAUGAAAUCUAGAGUUGAUAAAAAAAAAACAACAAAAACAUACAUUGACUUAGACAUUUGUCUCUCGAUUUGAUGGUUGAACAAACUAAUAUAUCAUAUCCUAACCUUCGUGAGUGUCAUUCAAAACAUAAUCCUCACGAUUAACCCCAUGUGUGAAAUACUCAUGUAUUAUUUGACAAUCUUCCCCUAUUGAACUGAUUUCAAUAAGAGUUUUUACAAACCUCAAAUAGGGACCAAAAUUGAAAAAACCAGCUACAAAUAUUACUCUACAAAGAUUGAUAAUGUAAUUAUUAUUACAGAAUCAUUGAUAUUCGAUAGUGAAAAUUAUCUAUCAAGUACUGAUAGCAAAACAAAAUUACCUAUUAAAGUAUUAAGAUAUGAUCCAGUAACAAAAAUUGCAAUAUAGACCAGCAGAAAGAAUGAGAUGAAAUCCAUACUUUCUUAACUAAAUUCUCAUACAAAAUAUUUUUAUUCACAAAAGAGAAUUGAUUAUAACCUCAUCAGAGAUGUGAAGGUAAACACCAACACCCUCUUUAUAUAUAUUGACCACUUGUUUUUAACAUUUCAGCCCACCAAAGACUACAUCAUGUGGCAUUUCCCUUCCCUGAUGUCCCAUUUUCGCUGAAUAAAAUCACACAUUUUAAAUAAAUAAAAGACUUGACUAAAUAACAAAUAUCUUUUCUAAAGAAUUACCAGGCAUACUAAAUAAGUGCUGAAGGCAUUUUCCAUGAAUUAUUCAACAUCUUUUUUUAUUGAUUCUACAUGAAGCAUGUUAAUCCCAUCAUUUCCUGAAGAUAGAUAAUACACAAGCAUGAGUUUGGAACAAAGGGGUAUUUCUGGAAAUACACAAAUAGGGUCAUAGACUUGUAUCUUUUGUAAUCAGUGGAUAGAAGGCGGUAAUUUGAUAAAGCAAAGUUCAUAAUUUCGUAACAAUUGGAAAAUGGAUCAAGAAUAUUUUACAAAACGACCAACAAAAAUGGAUGCAAAAGACAUAAAACAUGAGAAUAUAUAACUGGAAUGCAGAAGCAAUUAGACUACCUGUGCAUUAUUAUUAGCCUCUUCUGUUAAUGAAACCAGAUAACAUAACAGGGCUUCUCUCCAAUGUCUUGAGCUGCACAUACCAUAACCUUUUUAUUUUUCAAAGAGACUAUUAAACAAGGAAAAGAGAGCACUUACAUUGGUUAAAUAAAUCUUUAGCUGGAUUUUGUACUUAAUUCCAUCCUACAUAUAUGCAACAAAAUUAUUGCAUUGGCUUUGAUUGAUGACUAGAAGCCACAAUUUCCAACAUAUGUUUCAUUACCACAUCAAACCUUCCAAGAAAAGCAUACCACCUGUGUCAGAAUCAUUGAUAUAGAGAUUCAAGCUAAACUACAGCAAACAUAAGUCCAAAUGUUUUUUGUAGCAAUAACAAUCAAUAUGCCAAAUUCAUCCUAGUGUAUAUUAUUCGGAAAGGAAACCUAACUUAGUUAAACAGAAACACACAACUUUAUAUGCAACUUUUAGUUAGAACCAAAGUACACUUCUAUUUCUGAUUGAGUUAGAAACACAAACAUUAAUUUAUCUUUCGCUGAUCAAAUCUCUAAUAGCUCAAUAAGUUGUUCAAUAAUUUAAUUUGGUCUGUGAUUAUUUCAAAGUGAAGUCAGUAGAGCAAGCUUCAACCAAAAUUUUCAUAUGUAGGAAGCCAAAUAUUUUCAAUAUGACAAAAAUUCGAAAAAUCAAAAUCCAAAAUUUACAAAACAUGGAAGAAUCUGAACAAAACCUUAGAAAUAGGGCAAAGCAUAACAGAAAUGACCAUAACCAAAGCUACCAGUCCAUUUUUUCCGCAUAAAACACAGAUAAAUGAAAAGAUUGCUAUUACAACAAUACUGUAAUAAAAAGAAAUGAAACUAGGGUGAUAUAAGACACAAAUAAAUGAAAGUAAGUUCCAUGACAUCAGGAGACAAGGGUGAUGCACCUGAAAACCAUAAAAGCAAGUUAGUCUUUUUAUUUUGUUAAAUACUAAUCUGUCCCACAUAGCAUAGGAGAUGCACUCUUGCCUGAAAGAUAUAAUAUAUUCUUUAAAGUUGGGAAAGCUAAAAGGCUCCCUUGUGCUGAUUUUUUUUUAUAAAUAGUUACCUU
Molecule: long non-coding RNA, 67169 nt
Filed under: Lactuca sativa (garden lettuce)
Lineage: Eukaryota; Viridiplantae; Streptophyta; Magnoliopsida; Asterales; Asteraceae
Description: long non-coding RNA (LSAT_LNC006063)
Source: RNAcentral